RNAcentral lists this long non-coding RNA (48553 nucleotides) under Capsicum annuum. RNAcentral's name for it is "long non-coding RNA (CANN_LNC012830)". Lineage: Eukaryota; Viridiplantae; Streptophyta; Magnoliopsida; Solanales; Solanaceae. The record is from RNAcentral.
AAAAAUGUUAUUGCAGAUUACAUAUCAAGACAAAGCUACACAGACUGAUAUAGUAGAGGAAGAUACUCUAGAAAAAAUACUUAACACCCUAACUACGCUUUCAAUGAAAGUGGACAGUAUGGGUAAUGAGAUAGAAAAGCUAAAUACUAAUGAAGGUAAACUGAAGUCUAUAGCUACAAAUCAGCUAACUCAGCAGUGUGCAGAGCUAUGUCGAUCAGAAGACAUUAAAAAUCCAGAGCUAGAAGGAGACGUUGGGACACUCCAUAAAACCCAUAACAUUUAUCAAUCUACUUCUGCAGGUACAAGCAAAGGAGUUAAUAAGCCAAGAUACCAAAAUGCAAAUAUGAAUAAAAUAUUCGAAAAACCAUUUACCCCUAAAACACAAAAAGACCAUUUAUUCAUACCCCCACAAGUUAAUACAUACCGAGACAGCCUAAACCAAGACAAGAAAAUAUACAACUACACAGCCCAAAAAUACAUAGAAAAUAUAUACAGAGUACAAACUUUUCUAAACCAUAACCCCAGAGCUACAGAUAUCAAAGAACCAAAUACCAAUUAUAUAACCCAAAAAUUACAAGGAUACAACAAACUGAUAGCACUACCCAAAACUAACCCAAGCCUAGUUAAAACUUGUUUUGACUAUGGACUACUAAAUACCAUAUACACCCAAGACGGAGAAGAGCUAACAGCCAUGGAGGAGUUAUAUAAGAUAUUUACUACCUAUAAAAGAAUAACAAAAGGAACUUUAUUUUAUAUAAAAUGUUAUACUGCACCAGCAGAGAUAUUAUAUGAUGAGAUAAAACCAGUGAUACAAGUUGUAAAGAUAGGACUGACAAGAGACAUGAUUAUACCGGAAGAUAUAUCGCGACAACCGGAGAUACCUAGAAUAGAGAUACCAGAUUUUUACGCAAAUAAAAGACUUAUUGGACUAGCUACGAUCAUACAAGAACUAGCAAAUAACUACGCUAACGGAAAUCCAAUAUGGAGCUACUAUUCAAGAGACCACCAAAUGAUAUAUUCAAAUUCGAAAGAACUAAGACAAGCAGAUAUGGAAGAUGUAAGACAGUGGAUAUUAACACUACUCAACCCAGAAAAACAAUCUACCGCACGAGCAAUAAAAAAGGGAUUUAUUUCAGAAGGACUAUUAACAAGAUACUGUAAGAUAAUUGGACAUAAAUAUCCAGACCACCAAUGUUCGAGGUGCAAUGGAGAAGAUAAUAUUAUUCCAGAGGUACAUCUAGAAUAAAGAAGAUAAAAUGCCAGCUGGAAGGAUAAAGAUAAAAAGCAAUAAUGGAGCAGAUACAGAAGCAAUAAUGGAGCAGAUACAGAAGCAAUAAUGGAGCAGAUACAGAAGCAAUAAUGGAGCAGAUACAGAAGCAAUAAUGGAGCAGAUAUACGUAGAAAAAAAUGUAAGCCACUAUUGUUGACUUUUUUUAGUUUUAGAAAUUGUAAGAUACCUUUUAACUUCUUAGGCUUAGUUUUUACGUAACUUAGAAUUUUAGAAAAAAGUUAGAUGGGGAUAGGCCCCACUUCUUUAAUUUUCAUUACUUCUUAGGCACAGCAGAUAUGUAAAUUCAUUCUAUAAAUACAAAGUUCGAAGGUAUUGCGAAAGGCAAGCCUUCUUUUGAAGCAAACCUUUCUCUCUCCAUUCCACAAAAAUUACUCAGUUAAUUAGAUAAAUAUACUCCAAUGGAAAAAGCUAUGGAACAACAAAACUCAGAAACAUCAAAGCUACCGGAACAGGUAUAUCUAUUUAUAAUUAUGAAUAGCUAAUUUCAUAAUUCCCAACAAUCAUGAUAUGAUAAAAUAAUUCAUAUUAGUUACUUUAUAGUAGAAUUAUUCGAAGAAUAAUAUGUUAAGAAGUUUAUUAACAAAGAGGAAACGGAGAAAUAUCCCUAAGGACUAUGCCAUCCUAAAGGUGAAACCAAUGAGGCAAGAAGCCGUGGCGGGGAGUAACCAGAGUAGAGGCGCUGUUUAAGGGAAAAAGUAUCCAGAUUACCAUGUUAAUAGUGACGGAAGAACAUAUUAUUUAAGAAUAAUCUAGUAUAUAGUAAGCCAAUAUGACCAUAUUUUGUUGUGUACGUGAUUGAAGGGAAUAUUUUGAAAAAAGCAAAUUUAUGAAAAAUGAAUGAUAAUAUAUCUGAUGUGAUGGUAGAUAAAUUCAAGAUACUUAUUUUGUAUGCACUUAGAAAUAUAAAAGUAGCAGAUAUAAGAAAAAUAAUAUUAGAAAAAGCUUUUGGUAAAAAUUAUAUGUCUAGAAUAAGCUAUAUACCACAAAUACCUAACGACUCUUAUAAAUACUUAAGGUGAUAAGUUACAUAAAAAAAAAAAGAAGAUAAAAACAAAAACUUUUGCAGUUACUAGAAAAAAUAAAAAUAAACACAUGGAAAAUAAAGAUAUAAAAUUUCGUAAUAAAAAUAUGCAAAAACUACUAAGACUAAAACAAACAGCUACAAAACAAUUUUAAAAAUAGAUCAUUUAGAUUAUCUUAAAGUUUUAAUAUUAUAUAUACUUAAAAACAUAGAAAUUAUAGAUAUUAAGAAAAUAAUAUUAGAAAAAGUAAUAGACUACGAAAUUGAAACUAUAAAUUAUCUAGAACAGUUAUACGAAGAAAUUUACCCAGAAGGAUAUUAUUCAAACUAAAAAAUGUUAGAAUAUAUUAGACAAAAAAGAGAAAAUCAAGAAAAUCUAAAUAAUGAAAUUAAUUAUAGAAACCAAAUUAGACGAAUAAUAAAAGACCUAAAAGAAAAAUUAAAAUGGAUAGAAAAAACCUUAGAAAAUUUAGAUAAAAGUACAUGUGAUAGUCUAUAUAAUUUAAAAAACUCACUACGAGAAGAACAACACAAAAUAAUAAAUAACAUUGAAAAUCUAGAAUUAGAUAUAUAUUAUAGCACAGAUAGAAUAAAUUAUUAUACAAGAAUUUGUAACUCUGUAAUUACUACAGGAUAAAACAAUUAAUGAAUAUAUCUAACGAAAAAAGUAAAUUAUUAAAAGAUAACAUCCACGCACUAAAUAAAAAUAGAUUCACUACAAUACCAAAUCUAUUAUACCUACAAAUCCGCGCACCCCCCUACAUUCAUUACAGUAGGUUGUCUUAAGACCUUUCUCUCACCACCCAAAGUGAUGGUGUCCACCAGCUCGAUCAUAUGCAAUGGCCUCUCAAAUAGGGAUGCUCUUGAUAAAUUAGAGGGUUGUGUUUUCAUUUAGGAAACCAAGUUGGUAUUAUUAUGAAUUAACCCCAAAUCUACUAUACAGGACACCUCUAUUGCAUGAUCGAUACCCGAUAGUACCAUAAAGCUAGCAGCAUUACAUAGCUUUCGAACAAGGCAAGAGAAGAAGAUACUCGUGAAGUCUCUGAAAGCUCUCUCAUAGAUCUCAUCAAUAAUGUAUCAUGCAAAAUCUAUGUCGUACCCCACCAUAAUGCUUUCCACCAGAAUUGCUCAUUCAAGGGUAAGUGAAUUAUCCACUCCUGUAGGGCCUAACUAGUUUUGCACAAUAGAUCACCAAAACUUACCUAUAAAGUGCAAGGAGGACUUAUUUAUCUCUAUUUUUCUACAACUCAUGAGGUAUCAACCCCACUUUUAGCUAUGUAGCUUGCAAUCCAACUCAAUAUCUCUCACUUCUACUUUAGAUCUUUUAUUUUGGUUCUAUUUUUUACCAUCUCCAUGCGGUAAUUAAACACUAUUAUGCUUACCAGAACCUCAUGUCCAGGCUUAAACAAAAUGUACUGAAUCAUAUGCUCAAAGAUAUCACCUUGUAUACUCCGAACCAAUAUGGCAGACAAUAGAGGUUGGUCCUAAAUCACUUCCCCUGAAAUGUGAUCAAGUCCACUGAAGCGGUAUAAGAGGGAUAAACUCAUGAACCAACUUUGGACUGUAGCUUCCUUAUGGUUCCCCCAAUUAACCAAACAUGUAUUGAUCAAACAAUGCUUUUAUCUCUAGAAUCCUAGACAGAUCAACUGUCUGAAUAUGAGGAUCCUCUAUAAUAGUCCUCUUAAGUGAAACUCUCUCAGUUAGAUUUGCAUCUCUGUCGUAAAUUAGUUUCAUAUCCGAAACAGACUACCUUCUAUUUUACUAGACUGUGGCUGUCUGGGCCUUUUACUCAGCUAAGGGUAGCGUCAAAUUAUACGUGGAACUUUGUAUCCUAGUACUAAAAUUAGAGGCAGCGGCAUUGUUCUCCUUACUAUCACUAGGCUCAGAUGAUUCCUCUCUCUUUUUAGAAUUGGGAGAAGUGUUUACCUUACUAUAAGAGUCGCUAGAACCUGUGGCUGACAUUGUGGGUUAACCUGUGGUGUUUCCUGAGCUGCAACUUGCUCCUUUGUUCAUUGCCUCAUACAUGGAGGCAUAAGUUGGUAUCAUCAUGCUCGAUAAUAUAUUACUCCUGCGACCUAUUGUUUUCCUUUUCAAAAGACUUAUCUCAGAGUUUAGAUAUAAGACCCCACAAAAUCCUAAUUAUUUGAGUCCUUUAAAGCAUACCAAAAUAGGUCCCAGACUUAGUAAAUUUCUGCUAAGUGUUAGGACUUAGUCAUUUCUAAGGACCUCAAACUUUGAGGAAUUUAUUUAUGACCUUUUCGACCUUAUAAAGUUAGUUUUUUAGUUAAUUCAUGAUAAAAAAAGUCAAUAGUACAUCUCGGGUGAGUUUUGGAAUUUUCGGACAAGUGUAAGGGCGUGUUUGAAACUCCAAAAUAGUGGCUCAGGGCGAUUAGCGUGCGGCACCCUGCCCAGUUCGAUGUUGGGGGGAGCCCGCGAUACAGCCUGCGACCCCCUAGCCAGUCCAGUCUGGGUAAAUUCUACAGUUUUGUUCUGCAUUUCUAAGGGAAAAUAGGUUAUUUUCCCUUCACCCAAUAGCUCCAUAACAUGGGAUUAAAGCCCCAAAUAGCAUAAUUGCUCAUUCUUUUCACAAAAUCCUCUCAAUAACAAGCCCUAGCUUCAUCAAGUUCAAGAAUAUAAUCUCAAGAACUCACCCCAAUCUCCAUGAAAUUAACAAUCAAGGUAUGUUUGGUGUUCAUCUAUGGGUUCUUUUCACCCAUAGAUCCCAAGAAUCCUUUUUAAAAAUACAUGAUUGAGUUUUCAUGAAUUCCAUGCUUCAAGAUUAAUUGUAUUCAUAUUUAUGAUAGUGAUAGUGAUUAGGUUUCAAUUCAUGAUUAAUUAUAAGUUUCCAUGAAAUUAAAAUAGUUUAUGUGAUGAAUUAUAUGAAUUGCAUGCUAAACCCUUGAAUUUGAAAUUGUGUAUUUUAUUCAUGAUGUUCAUGUGUUGGCCAUUAUCAUGUGAAAUAAUCCAUGCUCCCCAGUGUUUGCUAAAAUGACUAUGUGAAGUAAAUGGUGGAAUCAUGACAUAUCAUUAUAUGGUCCCAAUCAUGUAAAAACUUAUGCCCUACAAUUGCUUGAUAAAUGUCUCUAUAAAUAAAUUAUGGACAAGUGUACAUUGUUAUGUUUCUCAAGAUUAUGCUAUUCUUUACUCUUCAUGCUAUCGAGUCCUAGGGGUAUCUAAUACCCAAAAAUCUUAGAUGUUGACCUAGAGCUAAAGUUGUUACAGAAUAGUCUUAGUAACAUCACGAUUUGUAGUACUCAUUCAGUACAGAACUCAGUCAAACUCAGUUAACUCAGUCCAGUUCAGUCAGUUAACACGAUCAGUAAUAGUUUAAUCAAGCCUAGUACAGUUUAGAAAUUAGUUCAGUGUCUAAUCAGUUAAGAGUAGGAUUCAUCAUCGAGUGAACCCAAGGAUGGGGACUCACCUACCAAAAAAGGGUGUAAUCCUUAAAAGUAGUCCUUGCAUUCCAGAACUACGUAGCCAACAUAGGUUGAGACAUCAAUCUGCCAGUUAAGGGUUGAUGAGGUGUCUUACCUGCCAGUUGAGGGUACCGUCAUUCUUAUUCAGAGCACCUGCCAGAUGAGGGUGAAUCAACAACUUGUCUUUACCCAUGGUAUGGUACUAAAACUCUUCCAACUGGGGUUACAGGUUGGACCCCAAUCAGUUCAGAGAGGGGCAUGUCAGUUAGAUGAUUACCUCCUAAAGUUUUAGUUUCAAGCUCAGUAUAGAACUCAGUUCAGUUCUAUAGAAUUAAGACUAUCAGACACAGCCACCCAGCUUAGUACAAAACUCAGUUCAGUUAUACAGGAUUAGGACUGUCAGACACAGUCACCCAAUUAUCAGAAAUUUAGUUAUCAAUAAAACUCGUGAACUAACUUUGGACUAUAAGAUUUAAGAGUCUCUCCUAUCCAUCCAUGUCUGUAUCUAUUAAAUAUGGCCUUAAUAUCAGGGAUCCCUCCCAAGUUAGUUGUCCAGAUACGGGGUUCCUUAACUAUGUUCUGUCUAAACCCACCCUGCUCUAUCGGCUCAGUAUCUCAAUUAUAGAUAUCCUUCAUGUCCUAUACACACCACCUCUUUUUUUGGGCCACAAGCAUAGUGGAAGUGUGUGGAACCCUGUACCCUUGCACUUGAAGCUGAUGAAGUACCAUCCUCACUAGAUUUUGAAGACUCUACUCCCUCUUCAGAUUGACGGGUAUCCGUAUCUCUUUUAUUACUACCUGACUCAGCUAAUUUUGCCCUAUCCUCAGACUAGAGAGUGGUUGUGUCCUCCUCACUAUCACCAGACUCUGAUACUUCUUCCCCCUUAUUAGAUUGAGGAGAGACAGCUAAAUGAGGUGGCAAUAUUUGAGCAUUUCGUGUAAUAGGAUCUUAUGGAGCCUCUUUCCUAGGAAGGGGCCAUGUUGUGGUGCAAGCUAAGGUGUCAGUUGUAUUGUAACGUUGGCUGCAGCUUUCUUCUAUGUUUGACAUCAUUUUUGGUGAGGUAUCAAUAGGCAUCACCCAAGGAUACUCUUUUGCUGGGGUCACCCUUUUUUUGCAUUCCCUUUGGCGGCAUCGUACAUGUGUAGAGGAGUGUAAGUACAUAGAACACAUAACUAGGUAAACACUUACAAAUAUUUAAAACAUGUAGGACAUAUUCAUGAGUUCAGUCCACAACUAGUGUACUGGGUUCAUGACUCAUAAAAGUCAGACAAAACUUUUGAGCUUCGGAAUCUCAGGUCUAAUUCCCACAAGUCUAAUCCAUGACUCGUGAAUCCAGUUCACAGAUCUUGGAUUGGACUUGUUAGUUCAUACUUAAGAAUAACACAAAGCUCCAAUUUCUUGAAUUCAAUUGCUAAUAAUUUCACCCAAUCAGUUUAGAUUCGAUCAAAUGUCAUAACUCUACCCAUUUAGUUUAUAUUGGUUCAAUUUUAGGGAAUAUGAAAUCAUGAUUUUAACCUUACUUUGGCAAUGGAGAAACAAACCUAAAAGAAUUUAGAGAGUAUGCACAUACCUUAGCAUUGAUGAUGAUUUCAAAUAAUAAACAAAGAAAUUUCUCAAUUAGGAGCCUCUUAUGCAUGGGGAUCAGGGUUUUGGUUGGUUUGAUUAUCGUGAAGAUGUAGUAGGGUUUUUUUGAAUGAGAAAGGAGGGAAAUAUAUGUUUUUAGUGUUUGAGUUUAUGUAGGAUUUGUUUUGUUUUAUUUUUUGAAUUGGGUUUAGGGUUCGUUUAACGGAAAGGGUUGAGUUUUAGGAUUUGUAGGUUGGGUCACGUUGACCUCUUAAUUUAAUUGAAAAUUUAGGGUAAAUUACUUAACUAGCCCAUAAAAUUGACCCAUGAUUCAUAGGUAUGAUUUAUUACCCUUUAGUUAGGCUCGUGGGUCAUGAUCUGAGACCCAAGCCAUCGUCUAAUUUCCAUGACUCAACCCACGACCCAUAGGUAUGGUUUACAACCCAUGGGCUGAAUUUGUAGGUCAUAUUCUGAGGGACGGAAUUUCACUCUGAUUUUCAUGAGUUGGGUCUAUAUUUCAUGGACUUAAGUCACAACUCGUAGACGCUAUUUGUGAGCAGAGCUUGACUGUUCUAAUUUUCUAAGUUUUCCUUACGUCAGUGAUUCCUGUGUGCUUUUUUCCCUUAGAAAAAAACAAAGUUAAUACUAACACCAUGAGUUGCCUCCUAAGCAGCGCUUAAUUUAACAUCAUGACAUGACAUUACUAUGUUAGUAACACAGACUUCACCAACAAGCCUAUGGGUAGCCUCCCAUAAAAUGUUUGAUUUAACAUCGUAGCAUGACCCAUAUCUCUUGACUACUCAAACUUCAUCAAGGCUCAAUUCCAUACAUAACUUAAUCUCUUUUGUAUAUCUGAUGUAGUGCUUAAUACAUUGUCUGUUCACCUUGAAUGGUACAUACCAUCUCAUUGUAUCUCGAUUGCACCAUAUGGAAAUACCCUUACCAUGGUGAAUAAUCUAGACCAUCUUCAACUUGCCAAGAAAUAAGCAUUGUCUCAAAUUAUAUAGCCAAAACUAAAUCACCGGGUUUGAAUUAUCUUUGUUUAAUUUUUCUGUCAUGGUACAGUUUCAUCCUUUUCUUGUUCAAGGCUGAACUCUCAUAUGAAUGGAGGCAGAACUCAUCCAUCUAAUUUUUCUUCUCCAAUCGUAAGUGUGCAACAUCACUCCAUUCAAAAUUUAAUUUUUUCAGUGCCCAUAGUGCCUUAUACUCAAGUCGACCGACAAGUAGCACGCGUUUCCAUAUACAAGCUGAUGUGGAGAUUCACUAUAGGAGUUUAUAUGUUUACGAUAGUCCUAUAAUACAUCAUUUAGGUUUCUAGACCUUCUAUUGGCAUUCGCGGUUUUUGCCAGAAUAGACUUUAUAGUUUGAUUGGAGACCUUUACUCGCCCACUUGUUUGAGUAUGGUAAGGUGUUGCCACAUUAUGAUUCACACCAUAUUUCUCAAGUAAGGCAUUAAAAAUAUGAUUGCAAAAGUGUGAGCCUCCAUUACUAGUAACUGCUCGAGGUGUACUAAACUUGGAUGAAAUAUUCUUUUUUAAGAAUGUUGUAUCGCUCUUACCUUCAUUGUUUGGAAGCACAAUUUCUUCCACCCACUUUGAAAUAUAGUCAACAACCACCAAGAUAUACUUCAUCCCAUGUGAACUCACAAAUGGGCCCAUAAAAUCGAUACCCCAAGGAUUGGCAUCAUAGGGAGCUCAUACCUUCAUGAAAAUAUUACAUUGCUUUUGGCAUUGCCUAGAAGAACUAGCAUAAUCAUGUGCGUCCUUAUAGGUAGUAGGCCAAUAGUAACCACAUUGCAAGAUUUUGUGCGAGUACCUUCAUGAUAACACCCACCCAAGGAUGAAUGACAUGACUCUAAAAUACUCAUCUUUUCUACCUCGAGAAUAUACCUCCUAGUUACACCAUCAGCACACACUCGCUCAUCCCAAAAGAACUUUCUCACCUCAUGCAUAAAUCACUUGCGUUGUUGAAACAACAUAGCUUUUGAGAUGAGAUCAUUAGCCAAAUAGUUGGAAAAGUCUGUAAACCAAGGGAUUUAGUCUUGUUCUACCACUAAGACCUACUCAUUUGAAAAAUUAUCAUCAAUCUCAAGCUCAUCCCCAAGUUUUAGCAUUGUUUCCUCCUCUAGGCGUGACAAAUAGUCAGCUACUUGGUUUUUGGUACCUUUUUAAUCCUUAACCUAAAAAUCAAAUUCUUACAGCAAAAGUACCCAUCGAAUCAACCUCGACUUUGCAUUUUUCUUUUCCAUGAGAUAUCUAAGAGCUACAUUGUCAGUGUGCAUAAUGACUUUGGUUCCAAUCAAGUAGGACCAGAAUUUUUCAAAGUUAAACACCACUACAAAAAACUCUUGUUCGAUCACUGUAUGAUUUUUAUAUGCAAGAUUUAGUGCUUUGAUGGCAUAGUAGAUGGGAUGAAGUAUUUUUUCUUACCUUUGACCUAGGACUUCUCUUAAUGCCACACCACUAGCAUCACCAUCACUUCAAACGGAAAGGUCUAAUCAAGAGACACAAUAAUGGAAGUUGAAGUCAACCGCUCUUUUAAUCACUCAAAAGCCUUAAGGAAAGCAUUAUCAAACAAAUUUCACCUCCUUUUCUUUCAAUUUACACAAUGGAUUUGAAAUUUUAGAGAUGUCCUUUAUAAAUCGCCUAUAUAAACUUGCAUGACCCAAGAAACUCCCAAAUACCCUUCACGAAAAUUGGUGGAGACAAUUUGUCAAUCACCUCAAUCUUAGCCUUGUCAACUUCUAUCACAGUUUUUAGAAAUUUGGUGCCCAAGCACUAUUCCUUCCUUGACCAUAAAGUGACACUUCUCCCAAUUAAGCACUAAGUUACACUCGUCACAUCUUUGUAAAGUGUUGGAUAAAUAAACCAAGAAAUUAUCAAAUGAUUCACCCAUAACUGAAAAAUCAUCCAUGAAAACCUAAAUAGUGUCCUUCACCAUGUCAUAAAAAAUGGAUAUCAUGUAAUGGUGAAAGGUUGCGGGAGCAUUUCAAAGACUAAAGGGCAUACUUUUACAUACAAACGUCCUAUAUGGACAAGUGAAAGUGAAUCCUCUUGGUCCUUGGGAGAAAUAAAAAUCUAAUUAUACCUCGAAUAACCAUCAAGAAAACAACACCAUCCUCUAUCUACAAGAUGUUCUAGCAUCUGAUCCAAAAAUAUUAUAGAAAAAUGGUACUUCUGGGUCCAUGUAUUCAGCUUCAUGUCAUCAAUGCAUACUCGCCAUCUAGUGACUAGUCUCAUAGGAACUAACUUAUUUUUAUUAUUGGGAACUACAGUGAUUCCAACUUUUUUAGCCCACACUGAACCAGGCUCACCUAUUUGUUAUCGAUAAGUGAAUAAACUAUACCUACACCUAACUACUUAAUGAUUUCCUUCUUCACAAUGAUUUCCUUCUUCAUAACCUUUUUCAUAAGUGGAUUCAAUCUAUGCUAAUUCUCAAUGCGAGGUAUGUAUUUUGACUCAAGCUAAAUUUUGUGAGUACAAAUUUUGGGUGGAAUUCUAACCAUGUUAGCAAUGGUCCAGCCAUUAGCCCUCUUAAACCUCUACAAAACUAAUACUAAAGCCUCAACCUACCACUCUAAUAAAUCUGAUGCAAUGAUAAUCGAUAAGGUAUUGUUAGCCCCCUAGAAUGCAUAACGCAAACAAGAGGGAAAGGCCUUGAAUUUCGAAACUAGUGGCUUCUCAAUAGAUGAUUUAAUUGGCAGGGUUGCUCUAUUUAUUUUUUAUAUCAAGGUUUAACUUCUUUGGUGCAUAAGUGUAUGAACCUCUACCAACAAGUGUAUUCACCAUCUCAAUAUACCCAUUAGUAUCAUCACUAUCCAAAUUCAUUAUCACAGCUGUGAGUGCCUCAAGACUAUGUCACUUAUCAAUUGGUGCUUCUAAUGUAUUUCUAUCUAAAGUGUCUAUCACCGAAACCAAAUGAAUAUCCUUUGGCUACUUCAUCGAUUGACAUAUAUUAUAAGUAACUUGCUCAUCAUUAAGUCUGAACUUCAUCUAUCCCAUAUUUAUAUCAACCAAUGCCCUAUCUAUGUCUAGGAAAGACCCUUCCAAUAUGAUAGAGACCUCAAAGUCAACCUCAUAAUCAAGAAUCAUAAAAUCAGCUAGAAAUAAAAAAGAUAAUACCUUUACCAAAAUAUUACACAAGAUACUGAUGGGUUUUAUCAUCGUAUAAUCUGCCAUCAAAAGUCUCAUAAAGGUUAGUUUACCUGACCCUAACUCUAAUUUCAUAUAGAAGACUACCGGCAUCAAGUUAAUGCUAGGAUCACAUAAGGCUCGUGUAAAAUUUGAAAAUCUAAUAGUAUAAGGAAUGGUGAAUGCUCUUGGAUCUUACUUCUUUUUAACUAAAAGACCGCCCUUUUCUUUAUAAUCAACUUUCCUCCUCCAAUUACCAUCAUUCUCUCUAGUCUUAUACCUACACAUGUCUUUAUAAUAGUUCUGAGCUUGAUUCUCUUACGUUGAGUUUCAAUUUUCUUGAUUAGAACCUUUAUUCUUGGCUUGAAAACACAUUAUAUCUCUAUUAAGAUUCUUAGUUUCUUCUUCAGAAUUUAGGUUUUCAUGUCUAGAAGUCUUAUCGUGUGCACCCACUAUAUCACUUUUUUUACUCCAACUACCACAAAUUUCUUAGAAAGCAAGCCAAUCUCAGUCUUUAGCUAUCCACCUCUUGAGCCAUUGUCUUAUCUAAUGCUCUCUGCUUGUUGGAGGCACCAAUUAAGUAAGUACCAGCUGAUCUAUCUGUCUCCUGAGUAUACCAUCCUCAAUUAGUUUUAGUAAUUUGGUCUAAGAUUAUAGAAGGAUGCUCCCAUCGUAGACUCAUGAAGGUUACACUUGUGAUAGUGUCUUCAAAAACCUUAGUAUUAGCAUUUACGGCUUUAUAGAAUAUCUCAAGAAAGUUUGUACCCAUGAUUCUGUGAUUUGGAAUAUUCUGAAGCUUUUUCAUGAACCUUAACCAUGUCUUAUAUAGUGGAUCUAAAUACAACUACUGAAAAUUAUAGAUCUCAUCUUUCAAUUGCAACAUUGUAGAGAGUGGAAAAAUUAAUCUAGAACUAAGGUCUCAACUCAUUCCAAGAGGUGAUAGACCCAUAAGUUAGCUCACCUAACCACAAAGUCACCUUUUUCAUCAAAGAGGAUGGGAAUAACCUCAGUCGUAUAACUUCUUGACUUACCCCAUGAAUAUUAUAUAAAGUGCAGAUCCAUAUGAAAUUCAUAAUGUGCAUAUUUUCAUCAUCAAAAGGUAGUCCAACGAACAUCCCCUUCAAAUUUAGAAACUAAAUCAUACAUUUGUAAUAUCAAAUUUGGUACCUUAGAACAAUACUGGAGGAAUAAUUGCACAUAUUUCAAUUAGCUUAAUAUAUCCAGAGUCUUUUUUCUAGAUCAUCAUACACUAGCAAAUAUUGUUAGAUGAGUUUUUGUCCUCUGUUUCUUCUUAUUCUCCACCUUACAUCAAGUUCAGCUAGAUGACUUUCUCUCCCUUUCUAGAUCUUUCUUCACUGGUUGCUCGUCGAGUAGCCGCUUUCCUAGUAUUUUUGUGAGCUAUUAAGUGAGUGGUAACUUUCCCUAAAGUUUAUGUAACAUCACGUAGAAGUGGUUAAUUCAAUUUUGGGUCAUCAUGAACCCCUUCAAGCAGGGCUUCUUGAUCAUAAGCUCCUUUUUUUCUCCAUCUUUUGAUUAUGCAUUAGAGUCUUCUCAAGUUCAGGAUCAAAUGGAAUCAGAGGAUUUCUUUGACUUCAAGUGAUAGGCAUACAGCAGUGUGUGCCAUAAAAUAGUAGAAAACCAAAAACCAACAAACAAAACCAAUAACUUCAACAAACUUGAUCUAUCAAUUCAUAACCAUAUUCCUCGACUAUAGUGCCCAAAUUUGAUGACGCCUAAAUUAUAUCUCUCAAAAGUAUAAAGUGGUUCUUGGUAAAAUAUAAAAUCCAACUAGGUUGGGGUCAAUCCCAUGAGAAAUAGCUCAAAAUUUUGUCAAGAGUUUGUCUAUGUAACAGGAAAUUAAGGAAAUAAAAAGGGGGGUUUUGUAAAAGUAAAUUGUAAUGGUAACAAUUAUUGGUUAAUUAGAUUGAGACCAACAUGAGAUGAGAACUAGGAUUGUGAUCCUCAUGACUUCAUAACUCCACAGGAUAUUUUUUCUCAUAAACUAUCUUGAUGCCUUACAUGUAAAAUCUAACAAGAUAUGUAUCACCUAACCAUCUCUCGACCUUGGUUAAAUAAAUUUCACUCACAUUUUCUUGAACUUAGAGCGUCUUAUUACUAACCCUUGUUCUGUGAUCUAAAAUUAACUAUCUCGAUUAAGGCUCAAGUUAAUUAGAUGACGGUUGGUAGCUUUAAAUUUUUAUUUUUAUCUCCUUUUUCCAAUCUCUACCUAUCUGUAACACCCUAAAAAUGGGUCUUGAGAUGUCACACGGUGCUCAAGACUAUGAGUAGCCUUAAGCUAACCCUGUAAAACUUCUACUAAAUCUGAAACUCAUAAUAGAGAAAUAUAGAUAUAUAAUCAAAGCUAAAAUGCAGAAGUCUUUCUGAUCUAAGCUGAAAUUAUCUGAACAUAAUAUCUUAAAAUACUUGACUUAGAAGUAUGGACAAUAAAUACUGGAAAUCUGAAUUAUAAAUAGCAACCUGACAGGCCUCUACUACAAAUAACUAGAGAGCCACUGGGAUAAACCCCCAGCUGACUCAAACUAACUGAAAAUACUGAAUCAACUACUUUAAUAAGAUGAAAAACUAAAUAACUGGGUCUCCGAACUAUGAGGGCUCACCAACAGUGGAAUAUAGAUAGAGAUGCUCAAAAUCACUCAUGCUGCUGAAACUAAGCACCUGAACCUACAUUAUUAAACAAUGUAGCACAUAGACAUAUAUAUGGAUCAGUACUUCUGAAAUGUACUGAGAAUGUGGGGGUGAAUGCAUAAGUAAAACAAUACCCCAAAGAUAAUAUAAACUUGUAAAGAAUGCAUGCUAAGUAUAGAUGACUCACAUUAGCUUGAAUAACUGUAAACUAAGAAUCACAGUCAUAAGUAGUAAGGCAUGUUAUAUAAAUCUUGCGAGUCAUAACAUUUAGUUUCUAAAAGUUGUACUUCUAUUCUAUCUUUAAAUCAUGCUGACUAAGUGUAAAAAGGACUCACUUUUAUAUCUGUAAACUGAAAGCUGAAAUCUCAUAGCUAAUUUCUUAUGUAAAGAAAUAUCUGAAUAAAGCUGUGAGCCUUUACACUUAGUUUCUAAAAGCUUUUCUGUUAGGAUUACUCUUUUCUAUAGAGAGGUUCUUCUAACCGACAUACACUAUAUGAGCUAUCAUAGUGUCCAACAUCUAGUUCCCUUAUGGGAAAACCUCAUGUUGGGGAGAGGUGUCAUACUCUUGCCAAGGAGUAUAACCUAAGCUAAGUGAUCACAUAUGUAACUAUUAUCCAUAUAAAAAUGGGAAUAAUCAGAUAAUUUGAUCCUACGUUAGCUUAUAGUUUUGGAGCAUGUGAACAUACCCAAAUCGGUGCUAAAUACUACUCCCUUUAAUCUGUAUGCUCAUUCUGUAGGAAAUCCACUUUAAAACUAGUAUAAGGGUUUAUAAUAAAAACCAAUUGUGUAUCUUCUUAAUUUAAACUGUAACUGAAACUGUAAAGUGGAUUCCAUAUCUAAUAUAAGAUCAAAAGAUCAAAUCUUGAUCAAAAUAUGAAAAUAAACUAAUCAUAGGGUGCGUAAAGCACUAUCAUUCUUGAAAUAUCGAUAUUCAAACUAGGGCUUAGUAACCCAUGCAUCAAAUUCAUGUCAAAUCAUCUUAAAGUUCAUGCUUGAUAAUGAAAGCCCUAAAAUUCAAUUCUAAAUCUGGAAAAUAAAGUCACACACAUAAAUAUACAAAAGUAGACAUAUAAUUCAACAUCUAAUUCACUUGUGACAUCAUAAUCUUCAAAUAGUGAUAAGUGGGUAUAAACCCUAAACUAAAAUUCAUAUAAUUUCAAGUAAAAUUCAACUUUAAAACUAAUUUUGGGAACAAGUAUGAAAGGAUUAUCCUUGUUCAUAACCCCGCAUACCUUAAUUGAUGAAUAGAUGAAGAAGCUUGAACUUUGAGUUCCUAUUUGUUCUCUUGAAGAUUGUUUCUUGAAGAUCUUGAAUUGGGAAUCUUGAAUUUUGGGUUAUCUUGGAAAAGAAAUGUGGAAUUUACAUUUCUUGAGGUUUAAAAUUUGGAGUUCUAGGGUUUCUUGAAAAGAAAUUGUAAAACCCCACAAAAUUCCUAGCUUAAUUCAGUCCUUUAAGCUAGUUAAGGAGUCCUAGACUCAGAAAAUUCUAGCUAAGUAUUCAGACUUAGUAUAUUUUUAGCCUUUGAAAGUUGGCAAUCUCAUUUUGUGACCAUAAUGUCCUUUAAAUGCCUUUAUCUUAGUUAAUUCAUGAUCAAGAAGGUCAAUAGGUGUUCCAGAACAAGUUUUAAAUUUUUUUGACCUCAUUUAAAUCGUGUUUGGAAUCCCAAAAUAGUGGACCAACGCGAUCUUGGCACGCCGUAUCACCCAUCGCGUUGGUUAAUAUUUUCCCCAGCUAUCAGCGUGUAAUUCUAGUGAACCAAUGCAAUCUUGGUGUGAUACGUUGGAUAUCGCGUUGAUGCCAUCGACGCACCGUGUUGACCUACGAUCACUGGGUCAAAUUUCAGUCAUUAAAAGACCGCAUCCUUGAGGUUAUUUAGGUCUUUUUUCCCUACCUCUCAUCCUAAAACAUGAAAUUUAGCCCCUUUAAAGGAAUAAUAUAAUCAUUAUUCAUAAAAUCCUCAAGAACAAAACCCUAGGGCUAUUAAUUCAGGAAUCAAAUUCAAAAGAUUUCACCAUCAAUUUUUUCCAAAUUCAAACAACAAGGUAUGUAAAGUAUUCAUCCAAGGGUCCCUUCCACCCUUGGAGUUCAAGAAACUUUUUUUAAAACAUGAAUUGUAAUUUUCAUAUUGUGGGUUUGAAUGUAAUCAUGUUAAUGUUGUGGUAUGUGUUCCAAAUUGAAAUCAUUAUGUAUUUAUUGGUAUUAUGAUAGCGUGAAAGUUGAAUUUUGAUUGUCUUAUAUUGAAACCCUUGAAUUUUGAAGUCAUGAUGUAUUUGCAUUGUUGUUCAUGCAUAAGUAUAAAGCUACGCCUACCAUGGGUUUGAUAAAAUGCUAAAUUGAGAUUAUGGUGCUUUUAUGAUCCUUUGGUGGUCUAAAUGAUGAACUUAUGCUAUACCCACAUGUUCACAGUGUCUUCCAUGCUAAAGCUAUACCUUGUAUGUGUUUAAUGGAAUGCUCAUGAGAUUGGUUUAAUGAAAUUAUGAUAUGUUAGCAUGCCUUCCAAUUCAUGUGCAAGCUCAUGACUUUCAAGUGAUUGAUGAAAUGACUCAUAGAAUGUAUUGUGAGUUGUUGACUAUUGUCAAUUAUUUAAGAAUUGUCAUGUUUUAUUAUGCUAUCGAGUCCUGGGGGUAUUUAAUACCCAAAAAUUUAGCUGCCUGCCUAGAGCCAGUGUCAGUUACAGAACAGUCUCUGUCAUGUCACGAUCAGUAGUACUCUAGUUAAGUUACAAAACUCAGGAAAACUCAGUAAACUCAGUAUCAAUCCAGUCCCAUUCAGUAUUUAGUUCAGUUCUCAAUAAUCUCAGUCAGCUAACAAAACUCAAUAGUAUUCCGACAGUCAAUGAAACUCAGUAAACUCAGUUCAGUUCAUUUAAUUAGUAUAAUCAGUAAUAGAUUAGUCCAGCCUAGUAUGAACUAGGAAAUUAGUCCAGUGUCUAUUCAGUUAGGAGUAGGAUUCAACACCGAGUGAACCCAAGAAUGGGGGUUCACCUGCCAGCAGAGGGUGUGAUCCUUAGAAGCAAUCCUUGCAUUCCAGAACUACGUAGCCAGCAUAGGUUGAGAUAUAACCCUAUGAGUCUAGGGUUAAUACAUAUUAUUCAAGUUUUCCUACUACCAUGGGGUUAAUAAAAGAGCUCCCUAUCAGAGAGGUUUAACUCAUGGCUUAUCCUUACCCGUGGCACGGUACUGACACCCUUCCAACUGGGGUUAUAGGUCUGACCCUAAAUUUAUUUAGAAAAGAGGCAUGUCAGUUAGAUGAUUACCACUCACAGUCUCAAUCUCAGUCUUCAGUGAAGAACUCAGAUAGUUCUACAGAUUUUAGAACUAUCAGAUACAGUCACUCAGCAGUAUAAAACUCAGCUAGUUUCAUCAGAAUCAGGAUUGUCAGACACAGUCACUCAGUAAAUAGUAAAUCAGCUAUUAGUUACAUCAGAAUCACAAUUUCAGUUAUAGUUCAUGUAUUCAUGCAUGUACUCUCAUUCAGUCAUGCUCAUAUUAUUCAGUUAUUAUUGUUCAUACAUAUGAACCUUUGCAUUCAGCCUUACCUCACUUUGCGUACCAGUACAUUCAUACGUACUAACACAUAAUUUUCUUUAUGUUAUGGUGUUUUAUACCAUAGGUUCAGAUGCAUGAGUUCCCAAGCACCCUUAGCAGUUCAGAUGUUCAGUAGACAGAGUAGUGGUGAGUCCUCAUAGUUCGAGGAUAUGUUUUUUCAUUCAGUUUUUCAGUCUAUUAUAGUAGUUAGAGUUAAUUGGGGACAUGUUCCAUCAACUCCACAGUUCAGACAAUUUUAGAGGCUUUUCAGACUAGAUGGUUAGACAGUAUUCAGUAUUUCAGAUUCUGAUAUUUUAUCAGACUUUAUUAUUUUCUUUUCAUCAGUAUUACAAUUUUGAACCUUAUGGUAUUUCAAGCUAUUAUUCUGUAUUAUACAAUGUUAUUGCUCGGUUAUUACAGUAGGUACCAGUCAUGGGUUAGCUUGUGGUCCUUUAUGAUUUUGAGCAUCGUGUAGCAUCUAGGGUACCAAACUCGGGGCGUUACAAACUUGGUAUCAGAGCCUAAGGUUUAAUAGUGUCCUAGGAAGACUGAAAAGCCUCAUCUAGUAGAUUUUUGUGCAUGGGUAUGUAGCAUGCCACACUUAUGUACGGGAGGCUAUGAGAUAUGUUAGGAAUGGUUUCUUUUCUUUCAGUAUCUAUGACGUGCGAGUGAGUAUUAGCUCAAGUAAAGCCCUUAUUCUAAUCUGCUCCUUUUUUUAUUUACAGAAUAUGCCUCCUAAAAGGACUAAUGAAAGAAGAACCAAGAACCAGUCAGCAUCUCAGCCCGUUUAGAAAGAUCCCCUAGAUAAGCACGUCUGUCAUGCAUAAUUCAGAACUGCCUUCACUACUCUAGAUAAUUCAGUAGCGGCUCAGAAUAAACGGUUAGCUGCUACUGUUUCGGCUACCCCAAUGGCUAAUAUUAUUGCAACUAGGAUUUGGGACUUUACUCGAAUAAAUCCUUCCUUAUUCUCAGGAUCUAAGCUAGAAGAAGAUCCACAGAAGUUCCUCGAUCAGGUUCAGAAAGUCAUAGAUAUGAUGGGAGUGACCUCUAAUAAGAGUACUAAUUUAGUCUCCUAUCAUCUAAAAGAUAUAGCCCAUACGUGGUUUAAGCAGUGGAAGGUAGACAAGGGUGCAGAUGACGAGCCUAUAGAAUGGGAAGAGUUUGCUACAACCUUCUUAGAUAGAUUCUUUCCCUUAGAGCUGAAAGAAGCCAAAGUGUUAGAGCUCAUCAAUCUCAGGCAAGGCAGUAUAAGUGUGAAAGAGUAUUCCCUCAAGUUUACUCAGUUAGCCAGGUAUGCUCCCCAUAUAGUAGCGGAUAAUAGAUCCAGAAUGAGCAAGUUUGUGUCUGGGGUAUCGGGUAGAGUGGUUAAGAAGUGCAGGACUGCAUUGUUGAUUAAGGAGAUAGACAUAUCUAGGCUUAUGGUCCAUGCUCAACAGAUUGAGGAGCAGAAGCUUGAAAAGAAGGAGAGAGAAAAUAAGAGAUCUAGUAUAGGUAGUUUCAACUUCUCAGCCUAAGUCAGAGAGUGGGAAUCGUUCUCAAUUCCAUCUGAAAUCUUUAACCCCAGUUCCAUCUUCAGCUAGUCCACCAGUACCAAAGUUCAGGGAUGACAGUCAUGAUAGGGCACUAGGAUCCAAGACCCAGAGUAGUGCAAGCGGUGUUCGUACCAACCCAUUUUACGAAGAAUAUGGUAAGAAUCAUAAAGAGAUGUGUAAAGACGGCAGUGAUAUAUGUUUUGGAUAUGGUGAGUCAGAUCAUAGAAUUCGAGAUUGUCCAAACCCUGGCCUACAAAGUCAGCACAGUUGUCCUUCAGCUCAGUCCAGUCACCCGAAUCAGCAGUGUACCACUUCUAGUACCGCCAGUGGGCAGUGCCCAAUUAGGAUUUAUGGACUCCCGUCCAGUCAAGGUUGAGAAAGUUCUUCAGAUGCAAUCACUGGUAUGUUACAGACCUCCCAUUUACAUGUUUAUGCCUUAUUAGAUCCAGGAGCUUCUCUACCUUUUGUAACUCUUUAAAUAACACUUAACUUUAAAGCUAGACCAAAUAUUAACAAAACCUUUCUCAGUUUCCACCCCAGUGGGUCAGUCUAUCAUAGCCCGAUGGGUAUACAGAAACUAUUUGGUUAUGAUAUCUCAGGAAGUUAGGCUUCCAGAUUUCAGUAGUAAUAUUAGUACGGGUAGAAAAGUAAAGGGUGGGAAUGAUUCCCAACCAUCUUUACCUCUAUUCAAAGUUUGGUACUUCAGUCAUCAUGAUAACUAUGCAUGCUUUAUGCCUCAGCUCCAUAAACACAGCUUAUAUUCACACAUUUUUCAUAGAAUCGCGUGCACUUACAGUUCCUAGUAUGAGGAGUUCCAAUUUACUCAGUAGUACUAAUCAUGUUCCAUGAGUAUAGAAAACUCCAAACUUAGGUCAUGCAGCUUAUGACUACUACUCUCAUGCUUCACAAUGUGUUUAGCCCCUAUUACCAUCUUGAUUAUAGUUAUCAUUACAGUCUCAGACAUAGUGUCAGCCUCAGUCUCAGUCCAGUAAUCAGAUUCAUAACUCGAUUCAGUCACAGGAUUGCUCGACUAUAGCAUAAAGUUAUCAGUUACUCAAAUUUUAAGCAUUUCAGUACCUCAGUUUAUAGAUUAUUUUAGAAUCACAUCAUAUGCUUAGUCUUGCAUUCUCAAAUAAUACAGUUUUCAUGAAUUCAUGCUCAGUUAUUUCAUGUUAUCUAGUUAGUCCUUACCUUAUAUACACGACACUCUAUGGUUUCAGUUCAGUUUUCAGGCUAAGUAAAGUUCAGUAUUGCAGACCCAGUAUUCAGAUAUCCAUCAUUCAGUUAAUUUGAUAAGUUAGUAUGUUUAUACAUUCAUGCUCAGCAUUCAUGCGAAUACUUUCAGAAGUCUCAAGUGAAGAGUUGUACUAAGGUGGAGUGUAUAGUUGAAAGGAUAUUCAAGGGAUAUCUCUAAGCUUGAGAAUUUUAGUUGCAGUGCAUAAGGCUUAGCUACUUCAUCUUAGAUGAUGUUUUGUAGGCCAUGACUCACAUUACAUAACUUAUUCAGACCAUGCCAAGUUUUUCUUACCCCCUUAAAGUCACUAGAACUAUAUAAAAAGAGUGUCAUAAAAAGGCUCCAGUCGAGUAUAAGUUUUCAGUAUAAGUUAGUCUGCAGAACCAGUAAUUCAGUUUAGCAGUUAGAUGGACAAGUUUAUAUGGUUUCCUAUUUUUACAUUUAUUCGUGCUAUCUGAAGUCUCAUGAAUGUAACCAUUCUAAGAUGGAUCAACUAGGUAGUUCCAUGUUCAGCUUAGUUUAUGUAUCAUGUCUCAGUUUCAGAUCCUAGAUAUUCAGUCAUGAUUCAUUUUGUAGGUUCCUUGUGUAUCGCCCUAGUUUUCCUUAAUAUCUCAACAAAGUCAGCAUUCUCCAUGGGAUAUAGUGUCCCAAGAGGGAGAUACGUUAUAAUCCCUCGAGCUUCUAUAGCCUCGACCUUCUAUUUUUUUCUCCUCACGUAACAAAUUCAGUUUGGAAUGGUGGGUACUCAUAGGUUAACCCUCAAGUUCCAAUCUUAUCCGUGAGCCAUGUAUUCGGGGGCUCAGUUCAAUGCCUGAUAAUCAGUCCAAGUAUCAUAUUUUAGGCUCAGUUAUGUUCUCAUAUUCCAAGUUCAGGCAUGUUCAGUAAUGAUCCCGAGUUUGAUAUUGGUGAUUUAGUAUUCUUGGAAAUCUCUUCCAUGAUGGGAAUGAAGAGGUUCGGCAAGAAGGGGAAGCUUAGUCCCCAGUAUGUCGGUCCCUUCAAAAUUCUCAAUCGCUUCGGCAAAGUAGCUUAUGAGCUCGAAUUGCUUUCAAAUCUAUCUUAAGUCCAUCCAGUGUUCCACGUCUCCUUGCUUAAGAAGUGCAUAGGUGACCCAGCAGUCGUAGUCCCUAUAGAGGGCCUAGAUAUUCAGAACAGACUCUCUUUUAAAGAUAUUUCAGUCAAAAUCCUCAUCUACCAGAUUCACAGACUGAGGAACAAAGAAGUCCUUUUAGUCAAAGUUCUUUGGCGGAAUCGGUCUGUUGAGAGAGCUACUUAGGAAGCAGAAGAAUACAUGCAAACCAAGUAUACUCACCUCUUCCCCGAUAAUCUAGACUCAGCCCAAGGUAAUGGCUUUUCUUAAGCUUAUUUAGUUUUAUGCUCAGAUUUCCAUUACAAACUUGGUAUCGUUUACCAUUGCAUAUUCAGUCAUAUGUUCAUGAGCCAGUUCAGUCAUGUAUUCAUGCAUCAGAUAUGCAUGAUUAGUAUGAGAAACUGAGCUAAUCAGUACUCCCAGUCAUGCAUUCAUGAAUUAGAUCGGUUAUGUAUUCAUGCAUCAGAUAUGCUUGUUUAGUAUGAAAUUCAGCAUAUCAGUAAUAUUAGUCCUAUAGUCAGGUCCCAGAUGUUAAUGUCCAGUAAGUAAAUUCAGCCUAUUUGUACUCUUAGUUCAGUCAGUCUUAUUUGAGGAUGAAUGUUCCCAAGGGGGAGAUAUUGUAAGACCCCACAAAAUUCCCACCUUAAUUCAGUCCUUUAAGCUUGUUAAGGGGUCCCAGACUUAGAAAAUUCUAGCAAAGUAUUCAGACUUAGUUUAUUUUUAGUCGUCGAAAGUUGGUAAUUUUAUUUUGUGACCUUAAUGUCCUUUAAAUACCUUUAUCUUACUUAAUUCAUGAUCAAGAAAGUCAAUAGGUGUUCUCAGAUAAGUUUCAAAUUUUUUGAACCUCGUUUAAACCGUGUUUGGAAUUCCAAAAUAGUAGACCAAUGCGAUCUUGGUAUGCCGCGUCGCCCAUCGCGUUGGAUAAUAUUUUCCCCAGAUAUCAGUGUGUAAUUCCAGUGAACUGGUGUGAUCUUGGGGAAAAGCGUUGGAUAUCGCAUUGAUACCAUCGACGUGCCACGUCGACCUGCGCGUCACUGGGUCAAAUUUUAGUCAUUAAAAGACCAUGUACUCAAUGUUAUUUAGGUCUUUUUUCCCCCGCCUCUCAGCCCUAAAACUUGAAAUUUAUCCCCUUUAGAGGCAUAAUACAAUCAUUAUUCAUAAAAUCCUUAAGAACAAAACCCUAGGGCUAUCAAUUCAGGAAUCAAAUUCAAGAGAUUUCACCAUCAAUUUUUUUAAAUUCAAGCAACAAGGUAUGUAAAGUGUUAAUCCAAGGGUCCCUUCUACCUUUGGAGUUCAAGAAACUUCUAUUAAAAAUAUGAAUUGUGAUUUCCAUGUUAUGGGUUUGAGUGUAAUCAUGUUAAUGUUGUGGUAUGUGUUCCAAGUUAAAAUCAUUAUGUAUUUCUUGAUAUUAUGAUAGCGUGAAAGUUGAAUUUUGAUUCUCUUAUAUUGAAACCCUUGAAUUAUGAAGUCAUGAUGUAUUUGCAUUGGUGUUCAUGCGCAAGUAUAAAGCUACGCCUACCAUAGGUUUGAUAAAAUGUUAAAUUGAGAUUAUGGUGCUUUUAUGAUCCUUUGGUGAUCUAAAUGAUGAACUAAUGCUAUACCCACAUGUUCACAAUGUCUUCCAGGAUACAGCUAUACCUUGUAUGUGUUUGAUGGAAUGCUCAUGAGAUUGGUUUAAUGAAAUUAUGAUAUGUUAGCAUGUCUUUCUAUUCAUAUGCAAGCUCAUGACUUUCAAAUGAUUGAUGAAAUGCCUCAUAGAAUGUAUUCUGAGUUGUUAACUAUUAUCAAUUAUUCAAGAAUUGGCAUGUUUUAUUAUGCUAUCGAGCCCUAAGGGUAUUUAAUACCCAAAAAUUUAGUUGUGUGCCUAGAGACAGUGUCAGUUAUAGAACAGUCUCAGUCAUGUCACGAUUAGUAGUACUCUAGUUCAAUUACAUAACUCAAGAAAACUCAGUAUCAAUCUAGUCCCAUUCAUUAUUCAGUUCAGUCCUCAGUAAUCUCAGUCAGCUAAUAGAACUCAGUAGUAUUGCAGCAGUCAACGGAACUCAAUAAACUUAGUUCAGUUCAGUUAAUCAGUACAAUCAGUAACAGAUUAGUCCAGCCUAGUAUGAACUGGGAAAUCAGUCCAGUGUCUAUUUAGUUGGGAGUAGUAUUCAGAACCGAGUGAACCUAAAGAUAAAGGUUCACUCGCCAGCAGAGGGUGUGAUCCUUAAAGCAAUCCUUGCAUUCCAGAACUACGUAGUCAGCGUAGGUUGAGAUAUAACCCUAUGAUUCUAGGGUUAAUAUAUCUCAUUCGAGUUCUCCUACUAGCUAGGGGUUGACAGAAGAUCUUCCUGUCAGAGAGGGUUAAAUCACAUCUUGUCCUUACCCGUGGCACGGUACUGACACCCUUUCAAGUGGGGUUAUAGGUUGGACCCCAAAUCUAUUCAAAAAGGGGCAUGUCGGUUAGAUGAUUACCUUCCACAGUCUCAGUCUCAAUCUUCAAUAAAGAACUCAGAUAGUUCUAUAGAUUUCAGGAUUGUCAGAUACAGUCACUCAGCAAUAUGAAACUCAACUAGUUCCAUCAGAAUCAGGACUGUCCAACACAGUCACUCAGUAAACAGUUUAUCAGUUAUCAGUAACAUCAGUUAAUCAGUAUUUAGACUCAGUAUUCAGUAUUAUCAUAAUUUUAGUUACAGUUUACGUAUUCAUGUAUGCACUCUCAUUCAAUCAUACUCAUGUUAUUCAGUUAUUAUUGUUCAUGCAUAUGAACCUUUGCAUUCAGCCUUACCUCAGUUUGUGUACCAGUACAUUCAUAUAUACUAACACAUACUUUUCUUUGCGCUAUGGUGUUUUAUACCAUAGGCUCAAACGCGUGAGCUCCCGAGUACCCUUAGCAGUUCAGACGUUCAGCAGACAAAGUAGAGGUGAGUCCUCAUAGUUCGAGAACAUAUUUAUUCAUUUAGUUUUUUAGUCUAUUUUAGUAGUAGGAGUUAGUUGGUGACAUGUCCCAUCAAAUCCACAGUUUAGACGGUUUUAGAGGCUUUCAGACUAGAUGUUCAGACAGUAUUUAGUAUUUUAGAUUCUGAUAUUUUAUCAGACUUUAUUAUUUUCUUUUCAUCAGUAGUACAGUUUUGAACCUUAUGGAAUUUCAUCCCAUUAUCCCGCACUAUACAGUGCUAUUACUUACUUAUUGCAGAAGGUACUAGUCAUGGAUUAUCUUGUGCUCCUUUGGGAUUAUGAGCACCGUGUAGCAUCCGGGGUACCAGACUUGGGCAUUACAAAAAUUUUGGUGAAAGUUUAUAAUGCUUAGAAUAGGUUUAAUCUUGUUUUUUCACGAUUUAGGGGCUUGGGAAAUGACUAGGUUGCCCUUUGGAAAAUUAAGUUUGGAACUAGAAAUCCUAAUUUUGUAAUCCACCGUGAUGCAAUGCUAUCACGGUGGCUCGCUGAAAAACGGAUGAGUGCUAUUUUGCACUAUGGUAAGAUGUGGAACUAUCAUGUUGCAUCAUUGGAAAAAAGACGAGUGCCAUUUUGAACUCCAACGAGAUGCGGGGCCCGUUCUAUCGCAAUUUCUAGUGCAACACUGGACAAUCACGAUGAGCUACUAGAAAAGGUAUGAACGGGAUUUUGGGCUUCACCAUAAUACGGUGUAAUCAUGGUGAUUCACUGGAAAAUGGACAAUUGUGAAUCUGCACUUCACCGCGAUGCGGUGCUAUCACGGUGAACUACUAUUUUUCACUAAAAGUGCCAUAACUUCGCACCCGAGUAUCGGAUUUAGGUAAAAUUGAUAUAGUUGGAAAUCUGACUUAAUUAUCAACACAUUGGUGGUUCUGGAGUUGGAAUAGUCUACACGUAUCAAGAGUUAUUCAUAUUUUUAAAGUUGGCCCUUGACACACUAGGAGCUAAAUGGAACUAAGAAAAGUACGAGGUAUUACACUAUCUCCCCCUUGGGAAUAUUCAUCUUCGAAUGAGACUAGUUAAACUGAGGAUACUAAGGAACUGAGACUAUAUGAUGGCAUGUACAACUGAAACAAAACUGCAUGACUGAAUCUAAAUCAUACUGAGCGACUGAACUAAUCUGUGAAUGCAUGAAUUUACAUAAAGAUAAUCGCAUGGCUGAAACUGAGACUGGAAAAGAACUAAAUUAAGGAAGACUGUUACCUUAGGUGGAAUCUGAGUUUGUGGAGAAAAGAUAAGGAUACUUGGUUCGCAUGUCUGCUUUUGCUUCCAAAAUCACUGACUUCAAACUUUGACCAAAGGAACUUCUUUGUUCCUUAGUCUAUGGAUCUGGUGAUCAAGAAUCUCUACUGGAAGUUCUUCGUAUGUAAAGCUAUUCUAAAUGUUUGUGCUUUCUAGAGGGACUACAAUAACUGAAUCAUCCAUGCACUUCUUCAAUAAGGAUACAUGGAACACUGAUGACAAGUCUGCAUGUAGCUCAAGCUCAUACGCUACCUUCUACACACGACUUAACAUCCUGUAGGGACCUAUAUAUCGGGGACUAUGCUUCCCCUUAUUUCCAAAUCUCUCCACCCCUUCAUGGUAAAACCUUCAAAUAAACAAAAUCACCAACUUCAAACUCAAGAUCUCUCUUUCUUACGUCUACAUAUGAUUUCUGAUGACUCUGAGCUACUUUCAAUCUCUCUCUAAUCAACUAAACUUUCUCUAUAGCUUCAAACACCAUAUAUAUCCCAAUCAAAGUGGACUCACCUACUUCGAACCAACCAACUGGUGAUCUAAACCUACGCCCAUAAAGAUCCUUAAACGGGGCCAUCUGAAUACUAGAAUGGUAACUGUUAUUGUAGGCAAACUCGAUCAAAGGAAAGUGGUCAUCCCAAAUGUCUUUGAAGUCAAGAACAUAUGCCCUCAACAUAUCCUCUAAGGUCUAAAUGGUCCUCUCUGCCUGACCAUCUAUCUACGAGUGAAAAGCUGAACUAAGAUGAACUUGGGUACCAAGACAUUUUUGAAAGGCUUUCCAAAACUGAGAGGUAAACUGAGUACCCCUAUCUGAAAUUAUGGACAAGGGAACUUUGUGUAAUCUAACCAACUCUCUGAUAUACAGAUUAGCAUAAUCUUCAACUAUGUAGGACGUUUGAACUAGUAAAACAUGGGUUGAUUUGGUCAAUCUGUCUAUAAUAACCCAAAUAAAAUCAUGUUGCCGACGCGAAUGGGGUAAUCCUGUGACAAAGUUCAUGUUUACCUCUUCCCACUUCCAAAUGGGAAUACCAAACUCCUGCAAUAUGCCACCAGGUCUUUGGUGCUCUACCUUAACCUGAUGACAAGUUGCACACUUGGCCAUAAAUUCUGUGAUAUUUUUCUUCAUACCACUCCACCAAUAGACUUUCCGCAAGUCGCGGUACAUCUUGGUGUCUCCUGGGUGAAUAGAGUAACGCGCACCAGGCACUUCUACCAUAAUUUGCUGCCUCAAAUCAUCAACACAUAGCACACACAAUCUACUCUAGUAUAUCAACACACCAUCUCCCCCUUGGGAGAAAUCCUCUACCUUUUGGUCUUUAACUAACCCCUUUAGUUUGACAAAAGUAAAGUCCUUAUCUUGCUUCUCUUUCAUUAUAGAAACUAUAGAAGACUCUGAACUACUCUGAACCCAAAUAUUCCCCUCAUCUGAGUCAACCAACCUCAUACCUAAUCUAGCUAACCAGUGAACUUCUCGAACUAAUUCUCUCUUAUUGUUCUCUAUAUGAGCAACACUGCCCAUAGACAGUCUACUAAGGGCGUCUGCCAUUACAUUGGCCUUGUCCGAAUGAUAUAAUACACUCGUGUUAUAAUACUUCAAUAAUUCUAACCACCUUAUCUGACGAAGAUUUUACUCCUUCUGAGUAAAUACAUAUUGUAAGAUUUUGUGGUCCAUAAACACAUCGACAAGCACCCUAUAAAGAUAGUGCCUCCAGGUUUUCAAUGCAAAUACAAUGGCAGCUAGCUAAAGGUCAUGGGUAGGGUAGUUAUUUUUAUGAGGCUUAAGCUGUCUAGAUACGUAGGCUAUCAAAACAAAACUCAGACCAAUAAUAGAGGCAUCACAAUAGACAAUGAAUCCAUCCGUUCCAUCAGGUAGCACUAAAACUGGGGCUGAAGUAAGUCGAGCCGUUAACUCCUAAAAACUCUUCUCACAGGAAUCCGAUCACUAAAACUUAACUUUCUUUUAGGUCAAUCUAGUCAUAGGGGAUGCAAUAGAUGAAAAACCUUCAACAAAACAUCUGUAAUAGCCAGCUAAACCCAAGAAACUUCUGAUAUCUGAUUAAGAGAAUGGCCUAGGCCAGUUUAUUACUGCUUUCAUCUUUUUGGGAUCAACUCAAAUACCAUCAUUGGAAAUAAUAUAACCAAGGAAAGCUACUAAUCUUAGCAAAAAUUCACACUUGUUAAAUUUGGCGAACAACUGAUGAUACCUAAGAGUGUGUAACACAAUUCUAAGAUGGUCAGCGUGAUCAUCCUCACUACAAGAAUAGACAAGAUUAUCAUUGAUAAAUACAAUGACAAACAUGUCUAGAUACUAUUUGAACACUCAGUUCAUCAAGUCCAUAAAGGUUGUUGGGGUAUUUGUCAGCCCGAAAGACAUGACUACAAACUCAAAAUGACCAUAACGGUUCUGAAGGCUGUCUUUAGAAUAUCACAUUCCCUUACUCUAAGCUUAUGAUAGCCAAAUCUAAGGUCUAUCUUGGAAAAGUAACUUGCACCUUGGAGUUGGUCAAAUAAGUCAUCAAUCCUAGGAAGAGGAUAUUUGUUUUUGAUUGUGACUUUAUUCAGCUAACGAUAGUCAAUGCACAUUCGUAAAGAACCAUUUUUCUUUCUUGCGAAUAGGAUAGGAGCACCACACAGAGAAACACUGGGCCUUAUGAAGCCUUUAUCUAAGAGGUCUUUAAGCUGUUUUUUUAACUCCUUAAGCUCAGUUGGAGCCAUACAAUAUGGAGGAAUAGAGAUGGGCUGAGUAUCUAGAAGAAGGUCAAUACCAAAUUCUAUUUCCCUGUCGGGGAGGUACCCCUGGCAAAUCUUUGGUAAAAACUUCAGAAAACUCAUUAACUAUGCGGACUGACUAAACUGUUGGAGCCUCAGACUUAGUGUCUUUGACUUGAACUAGUUGAUAGAUACACCCUGUUGACAUCAACUUUCUGACCUUAAUAUAAGAUAUGAAAUGACUCUUCGAAGACACGGAAUUACCUUCCCACUCAAAGACUGGUUCAUCUGGAAACUGAAACUUCACUACUCGAAUGUGACAAUCUAUAGAUGCAUAAUAGGAAUAGAGUCAAUCCAUACCAAGAAUAAAGUCAAAUUCGGUCAUAUCUAACUCUAUUAAGUCUACUAACACUAUCAAAUUCUGUAGAUCUGUUUGGCAACACUUGACUCACCCAGUGGAUAGAAACUAAAAAGGGCUUAGGAAGCUUUUCAGGACCUACUUUAAAAUUUACUGCAACUAGUAAGGUCACAUAAGAGAAAUUUGACCCGGGGUCUAACAACACAUAAAUAUCAAGAUGAAAAAUAUGAAGCAUACCAGUAACAAUAUCUGGUGAACUCUCCUUCUCCCGAUAGGAUGGUAACGCAUAAAAUUGAUCUGGCACUGACCAUCACCGGUACUGGAUGACGUGCCUUUAGGAAGGACUGGGCAACCUAGAGGCACUGGUGGGCUAGUAGCCUGAGUCUAGGGACAAACAUCCUUGUUUCCUUUCUUAGCAUGCGGACACUCUUUGAUUCCAUGACUCAACUUAACACAACCAUAACAACCUUUUUGUCCCAACAAGUACUCACUAAGAUGAUUCUUACCACACUUAGCACAUGAAGGAUAACUAGGUUUUCCACUUACACUAUUCUGAGAUCUGGACAUAGAAGUCUUACCCCACUGCUGUUGUCUAGCUCUGAGGCGAGAGUAAUGGCUAAAUAUGGCACUGGCAUAGAUGAGUGACUCUAAAACUAUAAAUGAUUUCCCCCUCCAAACUUUGUCUGGCCAUAUUCAAACUGCCCGACUUAGCCUUCUUAUUUCCCCUCUCUCUCCUUUAACUUUUCUACCUCAAUCUGUUGAGCAUGAAUCAUUAACCUAGUAAGAUCCAUAUCCCCAAUAAGCAUGGUAGUCCUAUACUCCUUGACUACCAAACUAGAUACUCCAAUAAUGAACUUAAUCAUACUCUACCUAGGAUCAGCCAUCGUAUUAGGGGCAGACUUAGAUAACUAGGUAAACUUAAGGUGAUACUGUUUCACUAUCAUCGAGCCCUGCCUCAGGUUCACAAAAUCCCCUACCUUGUCUUCUCUCACUUCACAUAGAAAUAACCCAUCUAAAAAUACAUCCUAAAAUACCUGCCAACUCAUAGAAGCUACAUUCUCACCUCUACUAUUCUUCUACAUAACCAUCCAAUUAUACGCCACAUCUUUUAGCCUAUAGGAUACUAACUCUACACUCUCCUCUUCAGUAAUAUAAAUAAUUUAGGUGAUCUUUCUCACCUUAUCUAAGUAAAUUUGUGGGUCCUCCCUUGCUUUAAACCCAAAGAACUCAGAUGGAUUUAUUCUCAAGAAGUCAUGAAUUCUGGCUGCUGCUAAAUCACUAUUCUACUAAAGUAGGACUGCCACCUAAUGGUUUCCAUGAACAUUAGAAGUCACAGCCUGGACUAACGCCUGAAAGGCAGCUCAAAAUUCAGCAUGGGAUACAUUCUCAUUCAGAGGGUCAGCAGGCUAGGCUGGCUGGUUAUCAUUUCUGCGUGCAUUAGCUUGGCGAAGAGGCAUAUUCAACUGUCAUAUAAGAGCAUGAGUUACAAGCAGAUAGAGACACUGUAAACAUGAUAGAUCAUGAAAGAAAGAGAUGAUUUUCUAAAAUGUCCCAUAGCCUUUUGGUCAUUAAUGUGGUGCACUUCAGACCCAUGAUCAAGACUCUACAUAAUGUAGCUUGUCUAACUCCCUAGGACUCUUAUAACCUUAGGCUCUGAUACCAAGUUUGUAACGUCUUGAAAUUGGGUCUCGAGAUAUCACAUAGUGCUCAAGACUACAGUAGCCUUAAGCUAACACUAUAAGCCUUCUACUAAAUCUGAAACUCAUAAUAGAGAAAUAUAGAUAUAUAAUCAAAGCUAAAAGAUGGAAGUCUAUCUGAUCUAAGCUAAAAUUAUCUGAACAUAAUAUCUAAAAAUACUUGACUUAGAAUUCUAGACAAUCAAUACUGGAAAUCUGAAUCAUAACUAGAAGUCUGAUAAGCCUCUACUACUAACAACUAGAGAGCCACUGGGACAAACCCCCAGCUGACUCGAAUUGACUAAAAAUACUGAAUCAAUAACUUAAUAAGCUGAAAAACUGAAUAACUGGGUCCCCAAACUAUAAGGACUCACCAACUGUCUGGAUGUAAAUAGAGAUGCUCAAAAUUACUCACGCUACUGAAACUAAACACCUGAACCUACAUUAUUAAACAAUGUAGCAUAUAGACAUAUAUGUGGAUCAGUACUUCUGGAAUGUACUGAGCAUGUAGGGGUGAAUGCAUAAGUAAAACAAUAACCCAACGGUAAUAUAAACUUGUAAAGAAUGUAUUCUAAAUGUAGAUGACUUACAUUAGCUUGAAUAACUUUAAACUUAGAAUCAUAAUCAUGAGUAGUAAGGUAUCCUGUAUAAAUCUUAUGAGUCAUAACAUUUAGUUUCUAAAAGUUGUACUUGUAUUUUAUCUUUAAAUCAUUUUUCCUAAAUGUAAAAAAGACUCGCUUUUAUAUCUGUAAACUGAAAGCUGAAAUCUCAUAGCUAAUGUCUUAUGUAAAGUAAUAUCUGAAUAAAGCUAUGAGCCUUUACACUUAGUUUCUAAAAGCUUUUCUAUUAGGAUUACUUUUUUUUGUGGAGAGGUUAUUCUAACUGACAUACACUAUGUGAGCUAUCAUAGUGUCCAAUGUCUAGUUCCCUUAUAGGAAAACUUCACAUUGGGGAGAGGUGUCAUACUCUUACCAAGGAGUAUAACCUAAGCUAAAUGAUCACAUCUGCAACUGUUAUCCAUAUAGAAAUGGGAAUAAUCUGAUAAUAUGAGCCUUUGUUGGCUCAUAGUUCUGGGGCAUGUGAACAUACCCAACUCGGUGCUAAAUACUACUCCCUUUAAUUUGUAUGCUCAUUCUAUAGGAAAUCCACUUUAAAACUAGUAUAAGGGUUUAUAAUAAAAAACAAUUGUGUAUCUGUUUAAUUUAUACUAUACUUGAAACUAUAAAGUGGAUUCCAUAUCUAAGAUAAGAUCAAAAGAUCAAAUCUAGAUCAAAAUCUGGAAAUAAACUAAUCAUAGGGUGCGAAAAGAACAAUCAUUCUUGAAAUAUCAAUAUUCAAACUAGGGCUUAGUAACCCAUGCAUCAAAUUCAUGUCAAAUCAUCAUAAAGUUCUUUCUUGAUAAUGAAAGCCUUGAAAUUCAAUCCUAAAUCUAUAAAAUAAAGUCACACGUAUAAAUAUACAAAAGUAGACACAUAAUUCAACAUCUAAAUCACUUGUGACAUCAUAAUCUUCAAAUAGUGAUAAGUGGGUAUAAAUCCUAAAUUGAAAUUCAUAUAAUUUCAUGUAAAAUUCAACUUUAAAACUAAUUUUGGGUACAAGGAUGAAAGGAUUAGCCUUAUUCAUAACCCCACAUUCCUUAAUUAAUGAAUAGAUGAAGAAUCUUGAACUUUGAGUUCCUAUUUGUACUCUUGAAAAUUGUUUCUUAAAGAUCUUAAAUUGGGAAUCUUGAAUUUUUGGUUAUCUUGGAAAAAGAAUGGUGGAAUUUAGAUUUUUUGAGGUUUAAAAUUUGGAGUUCUAGGGUUUCUUGGAGAGAAAUUUUGGUGAAAGUGGGCGUAUAAUGCUUAUAAUAGGUUUAAUCUAGUAUUUUUCAUGAUUUAAGGGCUUGGGAAAUGACUAGAGGUUGACCUUUGGAAAAUUAAGUUCGCAACUGGAAAUCCCAGCGGUGAUAUCAUAGUGGCCCACUGGAAAAGGGACGAGUGCUACUUUGCACUAUGGCGUGAUGCGGCAUUAUCGUAUUGCAUCACUAGAAAAAGGACAAGUGCCAUUUUACACUCCAACGCGAUGUGGGGCCUGUUCCAUCGCAAUUUCUGGCAUGACACUGGCCAAUCGCGGUGAGCUAUUGGAAAAGGAACGAACGGGAUUUUUGGCUUCACCGUGAUGUGGCAUAAUUGAGAUGCUUCAUUGGAAAAUGGACAAUUGUGAAUCUGCAUUUCACCGUGAUGCUGUGCUAUCACGGUGAACUAUUGUUUUUUACUAAAAGUGCCAUAACUUCUCACUCGAGUAUCGAAUUUAGGCAAAAUUGGUAUCAUUGGAAAGCCGACUCAAUUAUCUACACAUUUGUGGGUCUAGAGCUAGAAAAUUCUACACGUAUCAAGAGUUAUUCAUUUUUUAAAAUUUGAACCUUGACACACUAGGAGCUAAACAGAACUAAGAAAAGUACGAGGUAUUACACUAUCUCUUAAGAAAUUCUAGAAUGCAGGCAAGUUCCUAACAUUUACAACUGUUAAGAAAGUAAUCAAUUCAAAAGAAAUAUCAAUACCAGCAAGCACACCAAUCUAGAAUGACUUCAUACUUAACCCAUUUUAUUAAUUCAUUAUGGUUCCAACAACCCUAAUUAUGUGAUUUUAGCCACUCAUGAUUGCGAUCAUACAAGAAGAAUUCAUAGAUGGAAGCAUACUUGUACACUUGUAAGAAUAAGAUAAAAAGUUGUAAUCUCAAAUUGAUUAAAAAUCCCAAAAACUAAUGUCAAUGAUUCCAAGAUCAAUAAUAUGUCUAAGAACCCUAAAAUAAUGUAAAAGUGUGUAAACAAUCAUACUACAAAAUGGAGUAUUUAUAGAUACAAAACGAAUCUUAUAUUAAAUAGUGUAGGAGAAUUAGGUCAGCAAUAUUCUAUGAUUUAUUGACUAAAGUAGUAAACAAGACCCACAGUCAUGUCUCUCUCAUGGAAAUCAAACUCUGUAUCAAUCUUUAGUACUUUAUUCACAACUGUCACUCAAGAGUCGUGAGUUGGAGCCACGGAUCGUAGAUCAAUCCAUGGAAUUAAACUUUUAUCCAGCUUUAAAACUCUACUCAAGAAUCCCAUUCAUAAGUUAAGGGGAUAAUUUAUGGGUCAUGUACCACGCUCGUGAGUACCUAACUUUUCCUCACUCAAUAUAUUUUUAUCCUUUUUCUCAGUUUUUUCUCAUAAACUUAUUUUCCUGCACAAUUAUCCCAAAAACACAUAUAUCCAAUAAAAAUACCAAAGUCUUGUAUAAUUUCCUUAUUUUAAGUAUCAAAAGUGCCAUGAAACCAUGGCACAUCAGCUACUCACAUAUGUGAUUUUUUAGUACUGGAUCAGAUAUAUAGAUUAUAUUUGGUUGCUAUUUGAGAGUAUGAUACACAGGUUGAUUUUAUUAUGUUAGAUAUAGUAGAUUUCAAUAUGAUUCUAGGCAUGGUUUGGUUAUCCCCCUAUCAUACAAUCUUGGAUUAUUUUGCCAAGACCAUUACCUUAGCCAUGCCUAAAAUACCCUUGGUUCUAUUAUCGGUAUAUUAAUUGACCAGCUUAAAGGUGCAGCGGUGUUUCUAAAGGAUGAUUUGAGAUUUGGUUACCACCAGUUGAGGAUCAGGGCUGAGGACAUCCCUAAAAUAGCAUUCAAGACUCAUAUGGCCAUUACGAGUUUCUCGUGAUAUCUUUUGGGUUGACCAAUACCCCAAUAACUUUUAUGAACUUGAUAAACUAUAUUUUUAGGCCUUAUUUGGACUCCUUUGUGAUCAUUUUCAUUGAUGAUGCUCUAGUAUAUUUGAGGAGUAUGAAGGAGCACGAGCAGCAUUUGAGGACAGUGCUCCACACUUUGAUAGAUCAUCAGUUAUAUGCCAAAUUCUCAAAGUGUGAGUUUUAUCUUAAGUAUGUAGGUUUCUUAGGGUACAUGGUGUCCAUAGCUGGUAUUAUGGUAGGUCCAUGGAAUAUUAAAGCUAUUUGUUAUUAGGCUAGGCUUAUGUCUCCUACUGAGGUUCAUAGUUUUAUUGGAUUAGCCCCUUACCACAGGUUGUUCAUCAAGAGAUUUGCUACCAUUAUAGUCCUUAUGACUAGAAUGACUAGAAAAGAGGUUCUAUUCCAGUAGUCCAUGAGUUGUAAAGUGAGAUUCUGAAGCUCAAAUACUUGAUUACUCCAUCUUUUAUCCUAAAUCUUCUAGUUGAGGGCAAAGGAUUCACCAUCUAUUAUGAUACUUUUGGUGUUGGUUUGGGUUGUGUUCUGAUGUAGUGAGGUUAUAUUACUACACAUAUAUCAAGGCAGCUGAAGAUGCACUAGUGCAACCACCAUACUCAUGACUUAGAGUUGGUCGCAGUAGUUCUUACACUUAAGAUUUAAAGGAAAUUUUUGUAUGUGUUCAUUACAAGAUCUUCACUAACCAUCAUAGUCUUUAGUAUAUUAUGACCCAUGAGGUGCUUAAUUCGAGAAAGCAUAGAUGGAUUGAGCUACUAAAUAACUAUGAUAUCUCUAUUCUAUACCAUCUGUCAAGGCAAAUAUGGUAGUAGAUGCCUUGCAUCAGAGGGUAGUGAAUAUAUGUAACUGGUUCUUUAUUUUAGUUUUAGAGCAGUUGUUGGCUUUGGACAUCUAGUCCUUAGAUAACUUUAUAGUUUGACCUGAUAUUUCUGAUCCUAGGAGGAUUCUUGCUAGUGUUGAGGCUAGAUCUACCUUUUUAGAGCAAAUUCAACAUCAUCAGUUUAAGGAUGACAGACUUUGUAGCAUUUGAGAUUAGGUGCUAAGAGGUGAGUUCAGGGGGGCUACCUUAUAUUCAAAGGGUAUUUUGAGGUUUAACGAUCGUAUUUGCAUUUUAAGAGUUAGAGAUUUGAUUUAGUUGAUUCUUUUAGAGGCUCAUAGCUCUAGAUAAUCUAUUUACCCUAGGACAAUUAAGAUGUAUAAUGAUUUGAAGCAGCAUUAUGGGUGGAGUGGUAUCCAAAGAGAUAUAGCAGAGUUUGUGGCACAAUGCCUGUGUUAUCAGUAGGUAAAGGUUGAGCAUUUGAGAACUAGUGGAUUGCUACAGAGAUUACCUAUUCUCGAGUAGAAAUAGGAGUGGGUCACUAUUAAUUUCAUAGGUGGUUUACCUCUACUUCUCAUAGUUUUGAUAGCAUUUGGAUCAUCGUGGGUUGAUUGACCAAAUCUACCAAUUUCAUUCCUAUUCAGACUUUCUACAGUGCUGAGAGGUUGUCCAAUAUUUAUAUUCAAGAGGUAGUUCUCCUUCAUGGGGUGCCCAUGUUUAUUAUUUCAAACCAAGGUUCUCAGUUCUCUUCUAGCUUCCAAAAGAUAUUUCAGGAGGAUCUAGAUACUCAGGUUGACCUUAGCACUAUUUUUUAACCCUAAAAUAAUAGGCAGCUAGAGUAGACUUUUUAGUUUUUGGAAAAUAUGCUUCGUGCUUUUGGUUUGGAUUCCAGAUAUUAGUAGAUAAGUUUUUACCUUUAGCAGAGUGUGCUUAUAAUAACAGCUUUUAUUCCAGUAUCUAGAUGGACCCAUUUGAGGUAUUGUAUAGAAGGCAUUGUUGAUCUCUAAUUGGUUGGUUUGAGACCCCUGAGGUUAGGCCCUGUGUUAUAGAUUUUCUUCUUGAGUCAUUAUACUAAGUUUGGAUGAUUUAGGAUAAGCUACAAAUAGGUAUGAGUAAGCAAAAAGUUAUGUUGAUCGUAGACUCUGUGCAUUGAGGUUUAAAGUUAGUGGUCGAGUCUUUCUGUGAGUUUUACCUAUGAACGGUGUGAUGAGGUUUGGAAGGAGAGGCAAGUUCAAUCCUAGGGUAUAUUGGACCAUUUGAGAUCCUAUGAAUAGUUGGGGAGGUAGCAUAUAAGUUAGCUUAGACUCCAGUGUUUUUAGCCAUCUAUCUAGUUUUUCAUGUAUCUAUGUUGGGGUGCUAAAUUCCAGAUGAGUCUCAUGUGCUUCGGUGAGACUCAGUUUAGUUGGAAGAAAGUUUGACCUUUAUAAAGGAGCAUGUGUCUAUUUUGUCCAGAGAUGUUAGAUAGUUGCGCUCUAGAGAUAUUUCUAUAGUUAAUAUAUAAUGGUAAUACCAUUUAGUCUAGAAGGCUACCUAGGAGAUAGAGUGUGAUAUGUGGACCUAUUAUCCCAACUUGUUUGAACCUUCAGGUACAAACUUAUCCUUUACUUUUGCGGACGAAAUCCUUUUUUAAUAAUGGAAGUUGUAAUGACCCUCUAGGUCAUUUCCUCUAUUUUUGUGUGUUUUCUCUAUUUAGUGAUUUUUUAUAGCUGCCCCAAGUUAUUAUAACUUGCUGGGACUGACAGUUUAGUUAUCGGGCAGUUCAUUUAGCUUUUAGAGCCAUUUUCCCAUAUUGGAGAUUUUAAGGUUAAGGAAUGGGUCUUGGGCCAAAACCUUAGGUAAAGAGCCCCAGAUACCAUUUCUAAUAGUCUUAUCAGUUCCAAAACAUCAGUUUUAGUCUAGGCGGACCCUUGGUCUAAAUUUUGAGGCUUCUAGACUCAUUUUGGGCUAUUGGAUGAAAUUUGGCUAAAAUGGCCCCUCAGGAUGUAGGACCCACUUUUUAUUGAAAUAACCUCAGACGAAAAUUUUGAUGGCAUCUUUGAGUCUGGAAUAUCAAAUUUGGUAGGGUAGCAACGUUUGUUUGCUAGCAUGGGAUUUUGAACUAAUUUAAAGCACCCUAUUGGAGUCCAACAUUGAACAUGGUUGGUGACAAGUUAUCUGAUGCAGCUGCUUAAGCGGCUAAGGGACCACUUUAGCGGUAUCCACUUUAAGUCCCUUCAUUUUCCAGCUCUAAAUCCAACUAUAAAAUCCUCUAUUAGAGACUACUAUAAGCUCUGAAUUCAUGUGACAAUUAAAUAUUUGGGGUCAGGAUUAACAUGAGGGCAUGUUGGUGGGCACGUGAUCGUCGUUAUCUUCUAAGUUUCAUUUAACUUUUGGUGAAAUUCUCUAAAUUGAUUCUUUAAUUUUUGAUGUUGAUUAGGAUAGAUUUUGCUAUUGUUUGAGCUCAAAUUUAGCUAAAUUUAUAUGGCAAUUGAUCCUCGACUUGCGUGGGGUGCUAUGAUGAUUUCAAUUUUGUGACUCCGUAAGCAGACCCCAAGUAGGAUUUUUAGUUUGAUUUUUGACCCAGAGCAUUUAUACGUAAUAUGAAUUUCCUCAUCUCGAUACAAAAAUUGUGGUUUUUCUAGCGUGACGGUUCUUAGAGGCUUCUCUAUAACAACUUAAUUUUUGGUGAUUCUUGUGAAAUAUUUAUGUCUAUGUGAUUUGAUUAUUUUACCCCUCCCUACAAUUGCUUUAAGGUAUUUCUGGGGUGGGGGGAUGAUUGGCAUGGUUCCCAAUGCCUUUCAGCGUGAUUUAUAUAAAUUUGUGGUAUUUGGUGGUUAUAAAGGCUCUAUAAUUGACUUAGAUCAAAAUUUAUUUAUUUGUGUGUUGGAUAGCAAAAUGGACUUUACCAGCAAAUCCAGAACAUUGAUUUUAGGUUGGUAACUUGGUUGGUAUAGUUUUACGAUUUUUACAUUGCAUUUUGACCUCAGUUCAGAAAGUUGUAAAAUUAGGUUUCGGGGAUCAGCUUUGUAAAAAUGAUAUUUUUUCAAAGAUUUAAUAUCGCCAUUGAGUCCGGAAUGUCAAAUUUGAUAGGAUAGCAUAGUUCGUAUGCAUUCUCAAAAUCCCUAAAGAAUUUGGAGGGGCCCUCGAAGAGUUGGAAUUUUUCAAGUCUCCACAACUGGUGCAUGAUAUGGUGCAACCGCUAAAGCGACCUUUUGGGGGCUUUACCGGAGAGUGCCAAAGUGGCCAUUGGGCGCUUUAACAGAGGGUACCAAAGCAGCCAUUGGGCGAUUUAGCCUUCCUGAUACAGUUUCCAGGUACCACUUUAGCGGUAGCCCAUCCACUUAAGCGAACCUGCACCUACUUUAGCGGUAGCCCAGCCGCUUUAGCGAACCUCCACCUCAGCGCGGGUACCACUUUAGCGGCCCAAGGUCCACUUUAGCAGCACUUAGGUAUAUUUAUAUACCACCUUCUUUUCUCAAUUUUUUUACAUCAUUUUCGAGACUUAGAGCUUGGAAUUUUGAAUUUUUGGGCUAUUUCUUUCAUUUUUAGGCUUGGGUAAUGUCCAAAUCCCUAGUUUAAUCAUUUUCCUUUGGUUUUUAUCCUCAAAACAUUGUUAACACGUGAAUUCAAAGAUGGAAAUUGGGGAUGUUGGCCUGAAAUCCCUAAAGUAAUUACUCUUUGAUUUAAACCCCAAUUCCAAAUCGUUUUUGCUUGGGUUUUCUCCCAUGAGUUUCUUUAAUUAUGAAAAAUAUAUUGUUGGACAAAAUUUUUAGUUUUUUCCUUCUUUUUCAUGAACCCAUUUUGGGGUUCCAUUUUGAUCUCGACCCAAAAAUGGGCAAUACAAGUAUCAUUGGCUUUCUUUUGAUGCAUAGAUUAUAUAUUUGUAUAUUCUAGUUGAUUACAGAUCCAUUCAUGAGGAGUAAGCUCGGGUUGAAGACUUAUUUUUAUCGAUUUUCCAUAUUUGAGGUAGGUUAUGGCUUAACUUUCUUUAGACUGGGAUGGGUAGUAAAUAUUAGCAUAAAAACACAUUAUGGGCAUGGGAACGAAUCAUGGAAAUGGUUAUAUUAUUGUGUUGUUCCUGUGUUGGGGGUUUUAUUAUUGUUAUUUUAUGCUUUUGAGACAUUAUUUGCUUGUGUGAUCUGUGAGGUCUUAUGCGAUGUAGUUGGUCUUGCGUAUAUGUAUUUGGUUAUAUCUUUACAUAUGAAAGAGCCCAAAUUAUAGUUUAUGUGGUGUCAGUGGCAUAUUACCAUGUAUUUUUACUACAUUGGCAUAUGGAUUACAUUGGGUUCAUAGAUGAUGAGAAUAUUGAGUGGAUGCUCACAUGGUUUGUAUAUUGGUUGGAUUUUGGAAAUUCUCAUUCUUGUUGGUUGUGAGAAUUACAUCCAUAUAUCACAUACAUUAUGAAACAUUGGUACCACCGUGGAAAUACUGAAAACACUGGCUUUUUCUGACAGAAAAUGUGACAUCUUUAAAAACCCUAUAUGGAUGGAUGUGUCGGAGGGGAGUUAUGGAUAUUAGUAUUGGAUUGGGAUUGUAUAUGGAUUGACAAACCCGCCAUGGGUCCUACCUAAGGAGCACAACCCAGUAGGUGUAUACAAAGGUUGUGUGACAACCUCGUGCAUCAUCAGUAUUAUCUUCAUUACAUAUCACAUAUAUUGUGCUCACUCUGUGUUGGAUUAUCAUCUUGGCAUGAUAUUUGUCUAUGUGUACUUCCUUUCCAUAUUUGUAUUUGUGAUAUCAAUAUACUUGUGUUUCUUUCUCAUAUUUGCAUGUGGUACAUGUGAAUAUUAUAGAACUUUUAGUAGAGACGGUGUGGGCUACAGUUUGGGACAUUUUUUUAUUAUAGGUGAUAUGCCGAUAGUGUGUAUUUUGUGUACUUUAUUUUUUACUUUGCUUAGUUAGCCUAUGAUACCUACUGAGUACAAGUGGACCAUACUUAUCCCUACUGCUUUUUUUUGGUGUAGAUCCAGGUUCGAGUGUGCCGUAUAGCAAUUGAUUCAGGCAAUACUGGAGUCUAUUCAAGGUAGCAGUUGAUCCAUGCAUCCAGAGUUGACUACUCUAUUUUUAAUCUAGACUGUCUUAAUUGUAUUUAGACACAGAGUUGUUCCAUUUUAGGUAUCUUAUGUAUAUUUUGACUUAGAGUUGUACUAGUUAGUUCUUACACUAUGACACCAAGUUUUGGGUAUAUUGUAUGGUGUCUUUGGUUUUGAAUUUCGUAUUUUGUUAUGUAUGUGUGGUUCAACUUUGUUCUAAGAGUCUUGCCUUGGGAUUGGUACUACCUUUUAUUUUAUAUCAGUUUGGAUGAUUGGCUUACUUGUCAAGGUCUGUCAUGACAAGUACUAUCAUGACCCUUGGUUUUUGGGUCAUAACAAAUUGGUAUCAAAGCAGCUAGGUCAGUGGUCUUAAUAGUGUAAGAAUGGGGUGUCUAAUUGAAUCUUGUAGAUCGGUACGUAAACGUCCAUAUCUACCUUUAAGAGGCUAUAAGAUGUCUUUAAGAAACUUCUAUUAUUUUUUCCCUUACUAUGCGGAUCUUUUAUAACUUGUGUUGUAAGUCAUAUUUCACUCUUUUCUACACAGAUAAUGACUAGAUCUCAUGAGGUCAGAUAUAUGGAGACUUUAUUCGAUGAGAGAGCCCAAUAUAGAGAGUGAGUUGCGAGUUGUAGACAAACUCAAAGUAGAGGAAAGGCAUGAGGAUCUACCCCAUCCAAAGGUAGCACUAGAGGACUUUUCCCUGAGCCUCGAAUUGAGCAGGUUGGAGACAUGGGUCCUAAUUCAAUCUCGUUGAGUUUUUCUACCCCCAGUCAUGAAGGGGUUUCUAAUUUACUUGUUAACCAUUUGAAGGGUGCUCUUUCGAGUAUACCUGGUAUUUUUUCAGGUUUGAGUAUUGUACCUCCGUCUAGGCUAAAGUCCGCUUAUGGUGUUUCUCCAAUCUCGAGUGUGGAUCCUUCAAUGGUACCAAUAUCAGCGUAUGGUACUCUACAGACUCCGACUGUUAUCCCUUCUUCAACGUCUAUACUUGAGUAUAGUAUUCCAAGAUCAAGAGUUUAGCCUUCGUCUAUGUUACCUCCUCAGGUGGGAUCUUAGCCAGCUAGAUUCACUAUGCCUCCAAUUAUUAUAAGUACAAUUAUGUCCUUUGAGGAUCAAAAGAGGUUUGAGAGAUUCACUUGUUUGUGUCCUCUUAGGUUUAGUGGUACGGUAGGCGACGAUGCCUAUAAGUUCUUCAUUGACUGUCGUGAGAAGUUGCAUAACCUGGGCAUACGUAAGUCGCAUGGGUUGCUUAUACUACUUAUUAGAUGAGAGAUGCAGCUAGAUAUUGGUGGGGGCCACUUGUUAGUUGCAGGCCUCUUGAUUCUCCAAAGAUGGCUUGGAAUCAAUUUGCUAAAAACUUUUUAGAGAGGUUUAUGCCUUACAGUCCGAGGGAUCAGCUGAGAGAUAAGUUUUAUCACCUAGAGCAGGGUUCCAAGACUGUUGUUGAGUAUGAGGCAUACUUCCAUGCCAUGUCUAGAUAUUUUUAUACCAGCAUUGCCACCGAAUCUGAGAAGAUUGGAAAGUUCAUGAAAAGGUUAGAUAAUUCUCCUCAUCUAGAUACAACUCAGAUGGUAGUGUAUGGAGCAUCAUUUUAGAGUAUAGUUGAUCAUUCUAAGAUAACUAAGUCUAUUCUUCGAGCAUCUCAGGGAGGCACCAAGAAGGUGCGUAGUUAGGGUGAGUUUAGAGGUCAAACUUCUCGAGGUAGGGAUUGUAUAGGUUUUCGUGGGUAUCAUAGUAGACCCAUGCAGGCAGCUUUAUAGAGUUUAGGUAGUGGAUCUUUUGGUUUAGCAGCUUUGGGUGGUCGUUCUAGCUCAAUCAUACCUCAUCCUAUUAAGUGGCCAUAGAAUUUGCUACGUGUGUAAUGAUGUUGGCUAUUUUCCAAGGACAGUCCCUGCCAUAUGUUCAGAGCUACUCAUAUUUCAGUUGGGAGAGGUAGUAGUUUUACUAAAGGUAUACGGGAUAGAGAUAGUGGUUCUCGUGGUGGUGGUCGUGGGGCUACUCAGUCGGCUGGUGGUUGUGGAUAGUGCUAUAUUGUACUCACCAGACCAGAGGUAGAGGCUUUCGCCACUGUUAUCACAGGUAUCGUCCCAGUUUGUUUCAAAUCUAUAUCUAUGUUAUUUGAUUUAGGGUCAGUUUUCUUCUAUGUGUUUGCAUAUUUUAUUUUGGGUUUUGAUUUUGCUAGUGAGCCUCUUGUCAUGCCUCUUCAUGUAUCUACCCCUAUAGGAGACUCCUUAGUGGUGGAUUAGGUACACCGAUCCUGUGUUUUGACUUUUGCGGGCCAUGAGACCUAGGUAGAUCCGCUUGUCUCAGAUAUGGUAGAUUUCGACUUCAUCUUGAGUAUGGAUUGGUUGGAUCCUUACCAUGUUGUCCUAGAUUUUUAUGCUAAAAUCGUCACUUUAUCUCCACUAGGUGUACCAAGGAUAGCUUGGAAGAGGAUGUUUCAUUCGAGUCCCAAAAUAGUGAUAUCUUUUCUUCAGGCUAGUCGCUUGGUUGAGAGGGGGUGUUUAUUUUAUUUGGAUCAUAUUUGUGAUACUAGUAUUACAUCACCUUCUUCUUUGGAUUAUAUUCAUAUUGUCUGUGAGUUCAUAUAACAACCCAAAAAUGGGUCUCGAGACAUCACACGGUGCUUAGGACCAAAAGUGAUCCAAGCUAACCCCUGUACUGGCAUAAUGUUAAGCAACUGAUCUAAAUAUGUAUAAAAUGAUUGAGUUUACUGUGCAGGCAUAUAAUCAUGAUGAAAUCUAAGAAAAUACAAUACUGAUAAAAUUUUACAUUCUAAUAAAAUUGGAGAGUAGAACUAAAAUUACAUGACUGACACUAACUGACAUCUGUGAAGCCUCUACUAUACUGACUAUAGGUAGCUGGGACGCAUCCCCAACUACUACUAAUUAAUACAUAUGAGUAAGAAAGUAGAGUACAUAAAUAACAUCUAACUAAAAUCCCCAAAGUAGGAGGACUCAUCAUCUGCUUGAUGGAAUCUGCAACUGUCUAAUCGUGAUAGAUGGACUACAACUGAACUGGUACCUACAUUAUUAAAUAAUGUAGCACAUAAAUGUAUAUGUGGAUCAUUACUUUUGGAAUGUACUGAGCAUGUGGGGGUAAAUGCAUAAGUAAAACAAUAUCUUCAUGUUCACAUGAACUUGUAAAAAGGAUGCAUGCUAAGUAUAAACGGCUCACAUUGGCUGGAGUAACUGAAAGCUGAAAAUCAUGAAUCAUGAAUAAUAAAGCAUAUUGUAUAAAUCUUGUGAUCCAUAACACUUAGUUCUAAAAGUUGUACUUUUAAUCUUUUUGCUAGUGGACUAAGUAGAACUGAGGUUAAGUCUGUUUUCAAAUCAUGCAGGCUAAGUGUAAAAGGACUUACCUUUGUAUCUGUAAACUAAAAGCUGAAAUCUGAUGGCUAAUGACUUAUGUAAAGCAAUAUCUGAAUAAAAUUGUGAGCCUGUACGAUUAGUUUCAAAAAGUUAUUUUGUUAUUCUUUUCUGUUAGAAUUAUUCUUUUCUGUAGGAAGGCUCUUCUAACUGACAUACACUAUGUGAGCUAUCAUAGUAUCCAAUGUCUAGUUCCUUUAUGGGAAAACCUCAUGUUGGGGAGAGGUGUCAUACUCUUGCCAAGGAUUAUAACCUAAGCUAAGUGAUCACAUAUGUAACUGUCAUCCAUAUAGAAAUAGGAAUAAUCUGAACAUGUACCUACAUUAGCUAGUAGUUCUAGGGAAGUGGGAUGCGCUAAACCCAUACUACCCGCUCGGUGCUAAAUACUACUCCCUUUAAUCUGUAUGCUCAUUCUGUAGGAAAUCCACUUUUAAAACUAAUAUAAGGGUUUACAAUGAAAACCUCUUGUAAACCUUUUUACUGUAAACUAUAGCUAAAUCUGUAAAUUGGAUUCUAUAUCUAAGUUGAGAUUAAAAGAUCAAAUCUUUGUUCAAAAUCUGAAUAUAACAAGUCAUGGGAUGCUUAAAAGAGAUAUCUUUCUUGAAACAUCAAUAUUCAAACUAGGGCUUAAUACCCAUGCUUUAACUCAUGUCAAAUCAUCAUAAAAUUCAUGCUAAAUAAUGAAAUCUUGAUAACUCAAUUCUAAAUCUGGAAAAUAUUGUCACACGCAUAAAAAUAUCAAAUUAGAUAUGCAAUUCAACAUCUAAAUCACAUGUAAUAUCAAAAUCUUCAAAUAGUGAUAAGUGGGUAUAAACCCUAAACUGAAAUUCAUAUAAUUUCAUGAAAAAUUCAACUUUAAAGCUAAUUUUGGGCACAAGGAUGAAAGAAUUAUCCCUGUUGAAGAACCCUACAUACCUUAAUUGAUGACUAGAUGAAGAAGCUUGAACUUUGAGUUUCUAGUUGUGCUCUUGAAGGUUGAUUCUUGAAGUUCUUGAAUUGGGAAUCCUUAAUUUUGAGUUAUCUUGGAAAAAGAAGGGUGGAAUUUGGAUUUCUUGGGGAUUAAAGUUUGAUGUUCUAGGGUUUCUUUGAGAGAAAGUUGAUGAAAAUCAUGCAUAAUAUGCUUAGAAUAGGCUAGAUUCUGUGUGUUACACGAUUUGGGGCUUGGAGAAAUAACUAGAUUGCCCUUUGUAAAAUUUUACUCAAAACUGGAAAAUUCUGAUUUGGCACACCACCGUGACGCGACACUAUCACUAUGGAUUACUGGAAAAUGGACGACUGUAAUUUUGGCCUCUGGCGCGACAUGGUGAAUUCGCAUCACUAGAAAAAGGACGAGUGUCAUUUUGCACUCCACCGUGAUGCGGUGUCUGUCCAAUUGGGAAUUUUGAUACGAUACAGGCAAAUUGUGUUGAGCUAAUGGAAAGGAACGAACGGGAACUAGAAAUUCUCCACGAUGUGGGCCAAUUGCAGUGAUCCACUAGAAAUCAGACAGCUGGGAAUUUGUCCUUCAUCGGGACGCGAUGCUUAUCGUGAUGCCUAACUGUUUUCACUAAAAUCACCAUAACUUCUCAACCGAGUAUCGUAUUAAGGCAAAAUUGGUAUCGUUGGAAAGAUAAUUCAAUUUUUUACACAUUGGUGGGUCUAGAUAUACAAAAUUAUACAUGUAUUAAUAGUUAUUUACUUUUAAAGUUGAUCCUUGACACACUAGGAGCUAAAUGGGACUAAGAAAAGUGCAGGGUAUUACAAUAUCUACCCCUUGAGAAUAUUCAUCGUCGAAUGAGACUAAUUGGAUUGAGAAUUAUAAACUAAGGUAACUGAGAUUAUAUACUGAAUAUACACAUCCGAGAACAUACUUACAUGACUAAGUCUUAAACUUUAGAAACCUCUAUCAUGAAACUAAUUACUGAGCUGACUUGUCUUUACUUGCUAUAAGUAGCUGAUUUAUGCUAAGAGUUUAGAAUUCACUUGAAGUGUUGAUGAUGCAAUCAUACAUAUAGAACUUCGAAGUGGCAAAUUAUGCAGGCACGAAUCAUGAGACAACGAGGCUAAGAUAUACAAUGGGUAUUACACUGUCUGAGCUAGAAUACUUGGAAAACUAAGAUCAUUCUCUGAAUUCUUAUGAACUGAAUCAUGACUAAAUAUCUAAAUCUGAGACUGAUGCUUGAUGCCUGGACUGAGCUAAAUUCGUAAUUUUCACAAAUGCGGAUAUUUUACCUUAUGAAAUGGCCUUACUCGCAAAACUUUGGGUAGUACAGCUAGAUGGAAAGUUGGAAAUCUAUAGGAGUUUAUCUGUUUGAUUGCUAAACUGGAUUGCAGGCUAUAUGGAUUGGAUCACACUGAAUGCUCACACCCAAAUGGGGUAUUUCUUCAACACUCUUCUAGGAAGUUCUAACAAUAUUAGGUAGCAAAGAACUCUGGGCAUGAUCUGAACAAAACAUCUAAAUAAGAAAUUUCAACAUUGCUACAACUCUAUAGCAUGGAACAUAGACCUAUAAAUUAUAAUCUAAGAUAGAAUUACUAGGCCUUAAGCAAUGCAACUUCUUACUUUCAAGCUUAGCAACACUUCUCAAAUACUUCCUCAACUAUACUAUCCCCUUAAAUAUCAUAUUCACUUGAUUCAACUUAUAAUUCUUACAUGGGCAUUGAUAAAUCCAUCUACUAAAGUCUAAACUGAACUAAAUUCUCCCAUCAUGGUCAAGCCUAACUCGAAAUCACAAGGUACUACACAUAACACCAUAAUACUAGUCUAAACCAUGAAUUCAGUACCCCAAGAGUUGUCAUAAUUGUUCACCUCUAGGAUAAUUAUUCUUAUCACUUUAACAACUAAAUUCAACCUCUUACUAGGACUUUACUAACGCACAAUACGUUCAUCCACUUACACACUAACAUGAAUUUCAAACCUAUUUUCAUAACCACAUAUGCACUUCCAAACAAACACCCAUAAAAGCAUUUUUCUCAUAUUCUCUAAUACAUCUAUCAAUAACAACUUCCAUGGACUAUUCUUAAGAAGACACGCAUAAAAUAUUCUCAACUAUCCAACUCAUACACAAAAAGCUUCACCUCAAUAUUCCUUCACUUAUAGGCUUACAUAAAACAAGCCUACAACCAUUUUGUCCCAACAUAACAUAUUUACUCUCUCUCAUCCAUACAACUAUUCAUCAUCACGGGAGGUCACUUAAAGGUUGGGAUACCAGGGCCUGAAACAUGAAGGGGUACUAAACAUAACUUGACACUUUACUGAGGCUUGAGGAAUAGAGUAUUCACGAUAUGGAUUCAUUAAAGAGAUCUAAUCUGAGGACGUACAUAAUAUAGAUCUAAAUUUCACUGAUUGUUAAGAAUGUUGCAUGAGUACUAGAACUAAACAUCCUUUAAAGCAUGAGUACAUGAGUCAUGAGCUGCAUAUCCUAAAUUUAGAGUUCAUAACUUAUGGAAUGUGACUCCAACUACUGAAUGAACUGGAACUCCUCAUACUAGGAACUGGGAAAGUACAUGAUUAUCUAUUAUAUACAUGAACAUAAACUAUGAUAAUGGAACUAACACAUAAGGCAUGAGUAGAUAUUGGGAUAACUGGAAUACAAAUGUUGAAAUAAGAAUGGGUUGGGCCUCAUCCUCCCUUUUUGAUGUUCUACAACGUACAGGCAUUACUACUAGAAUCUAAGAGCUUGACUUAGUUCCUUGUUCUAUCAUCUCCCCAUAGCUUUAAGCCAUCAUUCCAAGUCUAUGGAACCCUUUACUAAACUCUAAAUUGAACUACACUCGUUGCACUCUAGAGUCUGGAAUACAAUAAUACAUGUAAAUAAUAAACUUACUCUGAAAGUGUAAAACCCACUACUAAUACUUCCUUCAGAGAUACAACUCUUUCUAUAGCCCAAUAGUCAUCAUAUAAUAACUUGAACAUUUAGUAACUUAGAAUCUUCAUUAGUAUCAUCAUAUCCUAAGUUUACACCAUUUAGAGCUUCAACUCUUAUUUCUAUUUGCUCAAUCUUCAAGGAUUCAAACUUAGAUUUUAACACUCAACAUGGAUAUCCCCAAACCUUUAAUGAGCCAUACUUUUUCCAUCAUAGCCUACUAAUAUCACAUCUCUAAACUUAUAUUAUUACCUAAACCAUGAGAAUCAAAAUCAUACAAAUCCAUAACACCAUAACUUAGCUAUUAAGAAUAUCAAAUACUAUAUAACUAUCCUCCUUCCACUUAACAACUCAAUGGUACUACUAACCAUACACAACAAGUAAUAACUUUAGAAAAUAGAGCAACCCCAAUCACCUUGGGCAUACCUCUAAAUCAUACGUAUAACAUCAUACUCAAUUAUGACUAAAAUGGAAUUAAACUCUUGCAUAUACUAUGCAAUCUUACUAGAUCACUUUCAUUUAACUAGCAUCAAUAACCGAGCAAUCAUUACUUCCACCUUGAUGAUCAUCCACUGUUCAAACUUAACGUCUAGUGCUAAACAUGAUUUACAACCCAACCUCACAUACUAUUCUUACUUGGAAGCUAUAAAAUAUAGCAUCAAGAAACACUAGUACACUAAAACCUCAUAAUAAUAAUAAUUGAUCAUAUGAUCUCAUGGUUUAUCUUAUUAUAAUACAUUAGCACCUCCUCUUUCUACACAUUGCAACUAUUUACCCAUCUAUCCACCUAUGUUACUUUCAUAGCUCUAUAAGUUUUAACUAAACUCCUUUUCGCAGCCUCAAGGGAAGCCUAAAUUAACAUUACUAAACCACCAAAUGCUUUCAUUAAUAACCAAUACUUUUCUAAUAGAAUAGGCACCAUCAAUAACUCCGUUCAUAUAUCAAGCAAACAACAAUUCACCUUAACUAAUCAUUUUUCUCUACCUUCUACCAAGGAAAUUAUACCACAUUCAUUACCUCUAAACUAACACACAAGGACAUAUCACCUUAAUACGAACUCUAUUACACGCAUAAGCUCAUGUAUAUACUUUCAACCAAUUGCCAUUCCCACCUUUCUUGCCACUACAGUUCUAUACCCAUACUUUUAACUAUGAAAAAAAGGUUCUACUACUUAUAAAUCAUAACACUCUAGGUUGCAAUAUCCCUUAAAUGCAAAUUUUGUUUAACAAUCUAGGUUCACACUAUCUUUUCUCAUAAGUACUAUCUAUAUUGAAGGGUUAAUGAGAAAUCUGAAUAUAUAUCUUACUCUAGGUUAGCUGAACAACUAAUAUGUAUGAGGACAUAAAUUUUGAUUUGAGUAAAUUAUAACACACUAGUGAGCUCUUCUCAAGCCCCUUGUGUGACUUCUGAAGUUACUAAUAGUAAAUCUGAGAGCAUCAACUUAGAAUAAAU